ACUAAGGCUCAUUAGGUGGAUUCUUCUACUACAAGAGUUUGAUCUAGAGAUAAGAGACAAGAAAGGCAAGAAAAACCUUGUGGCCAACCAUCUUAGCCGACUUCCCUCUAGCUCUGUGCCAUGUCCAGUCAAAGAAGAGUUCCAAGAAGAACAUCUGUUCGUCGCUCAUUCAACCUAAGUGGAUCGCACCAUGCACCUUAUACCCCAGGGGAGUACUCAGUUUCCUUUGUUCUUUUAUGUUUCUUAUACAUUAAGGAGAAUGCAUGAUUUAGGUGUGGGGGUGCAUAUCUCCUCUUCUUCUUCUCUUCUUCUCUUCUUUUCUUCUUCUUCUUCUUUUCCUUUCAGUUCUGCGAAUUUACAUGGCCUUCAGUCUGCUAAACUUUUUCAUUUUCCUUUCAGAUUUGCGAUUUUUGCUUGUUUCAGUUCAUGCGAUUUUUGCUUUCAGUUUUCCCUUUAGUUUGUUUUCAUUUAUGCUUUCAAUAACACACACACAACUACAACCUUCUUCAUCUUUUUGAUUUGCUCUACUCAAACUGAUGAACUAUGUUGGAUGAGCUUUUCUUUCCAUGACCCCAGUGAUGUGAUGACUGUUUAAACUUAUGUUGAAUCAAUUGUAGUGAGUUAUAUUCAUGUUUGAGAAUUGCCUUUUGAAUUGAAUCUUUGAGCUUGCCAUGGUGAAAAAUGUAUUGAUGACACUCAUUAGAGAGAAUAAAUUGAAAAUUGUGUGAAUGAACUUAACAUGACUUAUUUUAGUAAUUGGUGUUGAUUUGCCCGAAUCAUUGAGAGAAAGAAAAUUCAGCAAAGGCAAAGACCUCAUGAGCAUAAAUUCAAAACUGUUUCAAUGGUUGAAAAACUAUGAACAGAGCUAGUAGCCACUUGGACAGGUGACCAACUGAGUAACUGGGGGUGGGUAUCACCAAUAUGUACCUUGACGUCAAAAGGUUGGUGACUUUUUCAAGCAAGAUCUAAGUGCAAAAGACUGAAUAAAGUACUUCAAGGUAAGGGCAAGUCAAUUCAAAAGCUAAAAAGAGUCUUAACUGAACAAACAAUAUGUGCAUGUAUGAUCUCUCUCUUGAGUAAAAUAAAUCCUAGCCAUGGUAAGUAAAGGGAAAUAAGGAAAGAAGGUGAGUAAUCUUCAUGCAUAUAUUCUUCACUGCAAUGCUUCAAAAUAGGUGUCUUGAGUAAGAGCUUAGGUGCACAUAAAGAAUCUAGAGCAAAGAGAGCUUGUUUGACUAUAUUUAUUUGCUUGAGGACAAGCAAAAGGCUAGGUGUGGGGGUAUUUGAUAGAGCAUAAAUUAGUCCAUUUUAUCUUGAUAUUAUUGAUUAUUAUUUACAUGAUUUCUGCUUAAUUUAGUGCUGUUGACAUUAUUUUGCAGAAAAUGGUGAAAAAAGAUAUUUUGGAGAAAAUACCCUUAAAACUGCCUUAAAUGGAGCAAAGGAGAGCAAGCCUGCCAAGUUGAAAUCAAGUGAAGCUAAAUAAGGAAAGUAGCAAAGAAGGAAAGAACAUUCAGCCAAAGCAAUUUGAAAUUCAAAUUUCAAAUCUCCAAGUAGCCUUUUCCUUAUUCAAGAAGCCAAGUCUCAAGUUACCAUAUAUGAAGAGCCAAAUAAGGAAAGUAUUUUGAAAUUCAAAUAUUCAAUAUUCAUAUUCAAAUUUUGAAUUUCAAAAUCCAGCUUACUAAGGAAGCCAAAUCCAAAGAUCACAUGCUUGCCACUUCAUGCCUUGCACAUUCAAAAUUCAAAUUGCAAAGGAGGCUCAACCUUCCUUAUUAGUGCAUGGGCAGAAAGGAGAGUGUGAAGGCAAGUCUUGGACACCUUGGGCAGCAUCUUGAAGACACUAGGGCAGCAAGCAAAGACCAAAAGACCCACUCUUGCACAAGCUACCCAUGCCCCACGUUUUUCCCUUCUCACAUGUGCAUGGAUGGCACAUCUUGGACCAAGGGCAUUUUGGACAACCUCUUAAAGACUCAUGGACAGCUAAGAAACCCUAGGCCAGCAUCUUAAAACAUAUUUAAAGACUCCAAAGAGGCCAGCCGACCAGCACUCUUCAUCACACCAUUCGACCAAGGCAAGGGAGGCGCACCAAGCUCCAUCUCCUCCAUUCGGUUCCCCUUUUCAUCUUCUCUUCUUGUUUUUUAUUUUUGUUUCAGUCAUGAGUGGCUGGAACCUUUUAUUCUAGUUGAAGAUUGAUUGAAACUAAGGUUGUUUUAUGGAUUGUGAGAUCUGAACAUAAACUAUUUGUCUUUGAUUUGUUCAAUAUUCAUACAAUUUGGUGCUUGAAUCUAUGAUUACUUUGUUGUUUUGAUCAAAUUGGCCACUUGAUUCUUGAUUGCAAAGUAAUUGAUUGUUAGUUUGGAUAAUUUUUAGUCCGUAAUUGCUGGAAUUAUUCAAAUAUAAGAACACUUGGUGUAACAACUAAGGGAUUGUAUGAUCUAGCAACAUCUCCAUGCGUUUGGGUAGCUAGGAUUGGAUCUCUCUAUUUCUUCAUGCAAUUGACAAUUGUUUUAAUGCCUAAGGCCCAAGGACGUUCCUUGGCAAUUUGUUAAUUAGUAAUUGAUUAGAGGACGUUCCCUAAUUGAUUUAAUCAUAAGGAGAGACAUGGUGGUGAGAAGCGUUUUCCAUCUCCAUAACUAAUCUAUUGAACCAAUCAAGAGAACAUAAGUUUCAAUGAUCAAUCCGAACAACCAAAGUGGAUCCAUCUCUUCAACUAGACCUUUCUCAUAUUGAAUUUCCCUUUUAUUUAAUUACUUGCUCAUUUAAUUGCUUUCAGUAGUUUGCUAAUCAAAUCAAUCUCAAAACCCCCCUUUUUACUUUUAUUGCACUUUAUUUUUGUUUCACUUUCAGUUACUUGCUUUCAGCUUCUUAUUCAGUUAAUUCUCUUAAUAUUGUUGAGAAAAAUAGAUAAAUUUUCAAUUCUCUAUGGAUUCGAUCCUUUACCACUAUCUGCAGUUGUAAAAUUAUUGAUAACCGGAAAGGUUAUUUUUGACCGGCUUCGACAACUGCGAGUCACAUAACCAAACAUUGUCUUUAAUCGGACAAUCAUAAAGGUUAUGAUUGAGCAUAAUAGAAAUUAUGUAGAGGAUAAUGAACAAUCAAGAUAGUAUUUGUCCCUCUCUCUGAUAGAGAUAUCUUCUGGGCCCCUCGAUAAGUGAGACUGAGAAAUGCAUGGCUGUGUUCAAAUGAAUUGAUAGUGUAAUCAAUAUCAUUUGAAUUUAUCAGUCUACUUAGAGAUCGAGAAAUCAUAAGUUUGAACAUUAUAAGUUUGACAUUGACUAUGACUUAUGUUCAAACUAGAUAUCGUGUGACAAAUGGAUUAAUACAUGUUCUAUUUAUUAGGCUUUAUUGGACUAUUGAUCCUCAUAUUAGUUGGGUAGUCAUAAUGUCUUGCUAGAGGCAACUUAUGACUUAUGGGUCUUGUGGGACUGGGCCUAUUGCCAAUUAAUGUGAGUCUAUUGGGUCACACAUAAAAGAACAUUGUUGAUGUGCUAUGACAUAUUAAUGGGCUAAAAGUUCAAAGCACAUUAAUAUAAAUAAUAAUAAUAAAGUGUUAUUAUUAUUAAUAUUAAUUAAUAAUAAUAAAGUGUUAUUGUUAUUAAUUAUUUAUUAUUAUGAGAUAAUAAUAUUUAAAAGAUCUGCAGUCUAUCUGUAACUGUUACAGAUAAAAGACUCUAUCACAUAAGAUAUUUGAGUAUCUUUGAGAUUGUGAUAGUGGAUUAUGAACACAACUCCUUUUUAGGAAAGGAAGUUGUGGGAAAAACAAAAAACUGAAACAUAUAAAUACUUCUUCUAUGAAUUGUGGAAAAGGGGAUGUUAAUUUUUGAGAAAAAAUUCAGUCUAACUAUUGCAGAUUGUGGAGCACAUAAUCUAUCCAUCUUUGAGAGAACUAGCACUCUAGAAGGAUAGAAGACGUUCGUGUGGAUACCAUAGAGGGUGUUCGUUUGAAAAAGCAGCACCAUCAGUCCGGCAUUGUAUCUUCUUGACGAGAUUAACAGGUUAGUCUAAUAUCCUUCUUAUGAAAUAAACGAAGCACUCGGAUUCUGGGAAAAGGAAAUCAGAGAAAUUUUAUUUUUCCACUGCGCCUUUGGGUUGCCCUAGUUUAUGUUUUGUAAAUCCCAAUGAACAUGUUGUUAUGUAAAAGUUUUUUUAUAAUGAGUUAUGUUGAUCCAAGCUUGAUGUAUAUGAUGUUAACCAUACUAGAGCAUUUGAUGAGGGCUCUAGUGUGGGUUUUAUGUUUACAGUUUAUGAAGAAUGUACAGGUCGAGCUUGGAAUAUGAAAAGUUUGAAAUUUUUAUGAAAAUGUAUGUUCAUGUAUAGGAUUUUAUCAGGUACACAGAAUGCAUAGUAGGCUUGCUACGGGUUCCGGCGACCUUAAGUCGAUCUGAAUCCUAGCGCCGGUAGUGGUUCGAUUUCCGGAUCAUUACAAGUGCCCGAUUUCGACAUAAUUACUUUCAUCGCAAAACUUGCCAAGUCUGCCACCCAUGAUACCCUCAGUACCCGAUUUCGGCAUAAGUACUUACAUCACAAAAUUGCCAGGUCUACCACUCCUGCUACCUUUGAUGGCCGAUUUUUCCAGAAUUGCUUUCAUCGCAAAAAUUGCCAAGUCUACCACAAGUGCCCAAUUUCGGCAUAACUGCUUUUAUCGCAAAAUUUGCUAAGUCAAUCACCAAUGCUAACACAGGUGCUGAAUUUUGACAGAACUGCUUUCAUCACAAUAAUUGCCAAGUCUACCACCCAUGCUAUCACCGGUACUGAUAUCGACAGAACUACUUCCAUCGUAAAAAUUGCCAAGUCCACCACCCAUGCUACCAUCAUGUCCAAUUUUGGUAUAACUGCUUCCAUCGCAAAACUUGCCAAGUCUACCACCCAUGCUGCCACCGGUGCCCGAUUUUCCCACAAGUGCUUCCAUUGCAACAAUUUCUAAGUCUUCCACCCAUGCUACCAGCGGUGCGUGAUUUCGACAUAACUUUUUGCAUUGCAAAGUUGCCAAGUAUACAACCCAUGCUAUCACCGAUAUCCAAUUUCGCCAUAACUGCUUCCAUCACAAAAAUUGCUAAGUCUACCACCCAUACUACCAGCGGAGUCUGAUUUCGGCAUAAUUGCUUCCAUCGCCCAAAUUGCCAAGUCCACCACCGUGCCCAAUUUCGGCAUAACUGCUUCCAUUGUAAAAAUUUCUAAGUCUACGACCCGUGCUACCACUAGUGCCUAAUUUCGGCCGAAGUGCUUUAGUAUCGUGGGUGGCAUACUUGGCAAUUGAUGUGAUGGAAGCAGUUAUACCGAAAUCAGGUACUGGUGGUAGCAUGGGUGGUGGACUUAGCAAUUGUUGGGAGUCCGAUUUCGGCAUAAUUGCUUCUAUCGCCCAAGUUGCCAAGUCCACCACCGUGCCCAAUUUCGGCAUAACUGCUUCCAUUGUAAAAAUUUCCAAGUCUAUGACUCGUGCUGCCACUAGUGCCCGAUUUCGGCCGAAGUGCUUUAGUAUCGUGGGUGGUAUACUUGGCAAUUGUUGCGAUGGAAGCAUUUAUACCGAAAUCAGGUACUGAUGGUAGCAUGGGUGGUGGACUUAGCAAUUGUUGCAAUGGAAGCAACUCUGUCGAAAUCGUGCGCCGGUGGUUGCAUGGGUGGUAAACUGGGCAGUUUUUGCAUUGGAACUAGUUCUGCCAAAAUCGGGCACUGGUGGUAGCAGGAGUAGUAAACUUGAAAAUUUUUGCGAUAGAAGCAACUCUGUCAAAAUCGGGCGCCGAUGGUAGCAUGAGUGAUAGACUUGGCAAUUUAUUUGACGAAAGCAACUCUGUCGAAAUCAUACACCAAUAGUAACAUGGUGAUAGAUUUGGCAAUUUUUGCGAUGGAAGCAACUCUGCCGAAAUUGGACACCAUGGUAGCAUGUGUGGUGGACUUGAAAAUUUUUGCUAUGGAAACAACUCUGUUGAAAUUGCACUCCAAAUUCGAACCUUGAACCCCAAACCCUGAACUUUGAACCCUAAACCCGGAACCUUAAACUCUAAAUCCAAAACCCUGAACCCUAAAACUGAAUCCUAAAUCUUGUACCGUAAACCCUAAACCUUUGUCAUAAGUUUAUUAUUCCAUUGAUUGCUUCUUCUUUUUUCUUUUACGGAGCAUAUUUUUGGACUUUUAUAGUUAUGCUGCUAAAAUUAUGCUUUUUUUUUUCUUUUCUUUGAGUCUACUUCGUGGAUUUUGUGUUACUUCACUCAAGGUUUUUAUUCUUAGCUGCUUUACUUAGAAAGAGUUGCUUAGUCAUUCUAUAAUCGCCUUAAAAGUAAGUAUGAUAGACAGUGAGAAAAAGUAUUUUAAAUGGACUCAUUUUAAUAAAUUAGAAUUUGGUAUCCAGUGAUAAAAAAAAAAAAAAAACUAAUUAAUUUUUUAAUACAAUGAAAUUUUACAGAAUCUAUUAAUUAGUCUCUUAAUUAAAUUUUCAUACUGCAUCAACUAAAUAAAAUUUCAAAUUACUUAAAAUUAAUAUUGCAUAUGAAUUUUAUCGUCCGUGUGAAUGUUUAUUAACACUGUUCAUACAAAAUCCUUCUUUUUUUAAUCCCUCUAUUUAUACACUCACUCAAUGAGAACAAUACAAAAUCCUUCUUUUUGUAACAGCUUGUUAAUUUGAGGUAUCACACUUUAUCACCAAGUAAAGCUUAGCUUUUGAAGUGAAAUUUGUUAAGCAAUGAAUACUAGGUCUGUUUUUCAAAUUCUCUGACAGUGAAAACACCAUUUGAAUUCUGUAAUUUGAAAGACAAAUUAUAUAUUGUCAUAUUAUACAAAUAAAAAUGGUAAAAUUUCAAUUUCCAGAUCCACGAAAAGAUUGAGAUUGAAACAAAGAAUCACAUUUUUGAACGCUCGCAUAAUCAUAUCUUAUCUCUGUAGUAAAGAAAUCACCACCUGUUUUGAGUGACAAUUAAAGAGUAUCCAUAGUUUGCAAUAGAAAAUUGAAGUCAUCUUCUUUGACGAAGUAGCUGUGGCGGGUCCACAUCAGAUAGGCUUAUUCCAUCGAAUGAUCGGAAUAUCUCUUCCAUUGAAAAAGGUAUGCUGAAAAUUUUGAAAUGCUUCAACUACGAAUUUUUACAAUUGGAAGAUAUUUUUUUAUUAAGUUUUGUUGACUGUAAUUGUUACCUUGAAUCAACAUCGAGCAAGAAAGAAUAGUUAUUGGGCAUGUUUAUAGAAUCUUCUGCCAUUAGCGUUCUCAUCUUGCCAAUCACCUGUUGUUCCAGGCAUGAUAUAAGAAAUUUAAUAUUAAAAACUGUUUAUCUUCCCAUCGAACUGACAUGUAAUUUGGAAAACUCUAUCCUUUUCCACCUACUAUCAAAUUAUAAAUUAUUUUUCAGUGCAGAAGAAAAGGGUAAGUACGAGUAUGAUUUUUGUGCACACAUUAGUAUGUUUCAACUUAGAAGUGAAAAGAUAGAGAUGAUAUUUUAGGUGCUCUUUUUCAGUUUGCCCUUUUCUUCACUUCUAAUUAUUCCUCCGUUUUUAGAGGUUGUGGGACUGGGACUAGUGUAGAACUAUUGAAAUAGGGAAAACUGUGCACUAUGCCACUAUCACUUACAUCUGGAGAUAAUCCCUGUGUUCCGUAUUUAUCAUCCCAGAACAUUGUCCCAAUGCGAUAUAUUUGCGGAAUGCUCAACAUCUAAGCAACAAAUAAAACAGAGAUGUUAGUCAGUGCCAGGAGUUUAUCAACCCGUCCUCUAGAUUUUAAGAGAUCAGAUAGCUGACUCAACUAAGCUAAGUUCAUGUAUUUUCCGGUUUGUCCGCCUUUCUUUAUUCAAUAACUAUUUUCUUGUUUGUCCUCUUUUCUUUAUUCAAUAAUCAUUGUUUUAAUUUUUAACUUCCCUUAUGUCAAUUUUAUUUUUAUUUUGCAACCUUUACAUCGAACAGUGAGUUAAGGUGCUCUUUUCCAAACCAUAUACUGGAUCAUUUACCGGGCAUAAUUCAUUUGUGAUCUCGUCAGCAGAUUUUUGAGCUUUUUGAUGCAACACCUGUGCAGAUUAACCAUAUAAUCUGUUACUAACAUCAUGAAUCCUAAACUCAAAACAAUCAUUUGGUUUGCUAAUCUAGGUUUAAGAAAAUGUACCAGAAACCCCACAGCUUGCCUUAUGUGUUGGAGUUCAUCCAAUGAUGAUCCUGCAAACUGUGAAAUAUUGAAUAAAUAACUUUUUUGCUUGCCAUUGCUUUGUCCUUUGCAUAUGUUAGUCGCAUUUUUUAGCUUACCUGAUUUGAUACUUUCUGGCACCACUGUUCCAAUUCCUGCAAACCUGCCUUCAGAUAUUCUCCAUUGCUAAACGAGCAGAACUCACGCCGAAGCAAUAAGCUGCUAGGACAAUAAUUUGGAUAUGGAGACUCCUAUGAGAAAGUUGAUUUAGUUAUUAUGCUUAAUGAUGAAUUGGAAUUGAUGCUCUUCUUACCUGUUAAAGAGCUGUACGUUUAUGAAUGAGAAAACCUGACUGAAAAUUUUCCUUGUGAACACAGGAGAGACCUGAAAUUGCCAAAAGUUAGUUGAAAGGCAUUGCGAAAUAUUAUCGUUGACACAAAAAAAUGAAAAGCUGAUAUUUUUAUGCUUACAUUAUUCUCUGACAUUAUACUCAAGGUAUUGUCUAGCUUAUUAACAAUGCUUUGCCAAUGUAUGUUUGAUGCUUGCUGUCUUGCAACAAUAUUUGAAUGAAUGUUUUUAGAUGACCCUCUUAUUGAUCUAGCUCUCAUUGAUCUCGGUGCCUGUCAUGGUGAUCAAGAAAAAAUAAAGUGACUGCAAAAUCCCUUUUUUUAUUUUUUCAUAACAUUUUUGUCAUAUGAAUUUGUGCUUAUUCUACCUGGAUGCACAAAUUCAAUAACAAACUUAUCUCCUUCUUGACACUAUCACGGAUCAGCCCAUAUAUUUUCUCAACACAUGCAGUUAGAUGUUGCUUAAAUAGCAGUGCUGGAUACUUGGCUUCCACUUUUAACUGCUCACUGGAUUUUCCCACCAUUCCACUGUACCCACUUGACACUCCUAUACCCAUUGAAGGUGGUUGGAAUCCCUAUAACACAAAUUUUCAGAUUGUAAUUUUGUACAUGGAACUAGAUGCAACAACAAUUUCAUAGAUAGAACUUACUUGUACCAUUCUUCCAAAUAAGGUUGUUGGGGAGGUUCGAUUCCGCUGUGAUGAUGCAUUCUGCAUGUUGCUUGCCUUAAGUGUACUUUGGAGAAGAAACAAAAGAGUAGAAGUUGUUGAGAGCCAAUAUGUUAGGUUACUGGUGUUAUCUUCACUCUUCAAAAACAUAUUCAGGAGAUCAGUAUCACAACUUUGAGGCUAUCAUAUAACAAUAUAUAAAAUGCAUUCAACUCUAGUUAGGAGUGUAAUGGACUGAGCCAAGCCCAGCCAAGACUUCCACACGUUUAGGCUUAGUCCUACAUAUCUUUUAAUUGGCUCAAGCUCAAAGUGAGCCUCAAGUCAAUAUUAUAAUCCCAAGCUUAAAUUCAACUUGCUUUAUUAACUGAGCAUAUGGAGCUUAUUGAGGAGCUAUUUUAUGAUUGAACUAGUUGCACUAAUAGACUUAACCCAAGGUUAAUAUUGUUAUGUUGAAGGAGCACCUCUACACAGGAUUUGAUUGUCUGAAUGAUUCUAUCAAAUAUAUUUGUCUUCUCUGCUUCAAAGGAUCUCCAUUGAAGAAGUGAUUUGUAUACAACACAGGCAGCAACAGGUCUGCUCUUAUCAAACUGUUUGUCUUCCACAAGACAUUUGAUGAGUACAUCAUGGUUUUCCUGUGACAGGGCAGACAAUGAUAGAUUGUACUUUGAGUGACUGCACAAAUGAUUCACUAAAUACUGUUUUAAUUUAUUUAAUUGGCAUGUGUGAGAGUUCAUCUUUCAGAUGAUGUUUACCUGUUGCCUAUCUGUUAGGGAUCUUUGUUUAGUUAAAAGGGAGACAAGAGGUUCUGGCUCCUGGAAAUAAAAUUCCCAUUGUUAGAUCUUGGAAUAAUACAUGACUAGUGUCUACUUAUUGCUGUAAGUUUAUGAAAAUGUGUACUGAAGGAGGGUGGCUCUACUUUUGUCAUUUGAGGCCCUUCCUCUAUUUUGUGCCCGUUGACAACAUUCUGCAUUCACAUGGAGGGUUAAUACUAAAUUAUGACAUAACUACUCAAGGAAUACAGCUGUGCAUAGUAGCAUACAUUGACUUGAGAUGAAACCCUUUCAGGUGUUGCUUUCUGCACCAGAACAGCUGGUCGUUUGCAGAGUAGUUCAUUCUCUGACUCCAGAUCUUUUAUCUUAUGCUUGAGGCUGGAAACAAGUCAAGGAUACAAGAAUGUAUGAUUGCAUGUUUUCCAAAUGUGUUCUUAUGCAUUUGCAUUAGAUAUGCCAGGUCAGUUGUGGCGUGUGACUAAUACUUUGUUCUUUAACAUUUCAACGCUAGUAUCUCAAAAUUAAAGAACACAACAGACUUUACUACACGUUUGGUAUGAGAGAACACAACAAACUUUUUAAGUUCUUUGUUCAAUCUUUCAUUGUGUACAAAUGAAGAACAAUUGGUAAAAAUUGGGAACUCGUCCAGAUGAGCUUGACAAAGCUUUUUCAAUAUUAUAAAGCAACCAAAAAUAGUAUCUCGAUGGAACAAGUGCAAACAAUGGUUAUAACUUUGGAGAAGAUUAAGCUAAGAUGCCUUUCAAGGUUUGGUCAAUGAUUCUUGAGUGACAAUAAUGACUUCUUUCAUCUACAGAGGCCUACCUAAGGCUUUAUCUUUUGAUAAGUAUGUCGUGUUAUAAGUACAUUGAGUAUCAUCUUCACAUGCUCUUACAAUAUGCAAGGGCUCGGGAAGUUUGGGAUGGUCUAUUUUUUUUGUUUUUUUGGAGAAUUGGGCAUGGGGAUACUUUGAACUCUGCUGUUAUUGAUAUAAAGGACGUCAAUAUUUUUUGGUCUAAGAUAAAGCAUGUUAGGUGAUAUUAAGGAUGUCAAAUUAUUUUGAAGUUGUGCUUUUUUUAUUAUUGUGUCAAAUAUUUGGAUGGAUAGAAUUGCCCCUGUACCUGUAGUUUUAGUGCUAGGUUCUUUAAUCUAUGGGUCAAGGUGGGGACUUUAAGUUGAGUGUCUUAAACUCUUAUUCAGAAUAAUUAGGGGUGAUGCUUUUCUUAAUAUUCUUUUCUCUGUUGUUUGCAUGGAGAGACUCGACUACCAUCUUAGCUUAAUCUCCUCCUAAGUAAUAACCAUUUUCUGCCCCUAUUUCUUUUCCAAACCACCGUAUAUUUUGUAUUCCAAUUUUUUCAUUAUAGUUUUGUGCAAUAAUCGAGCUUAUUUUCUGAUGUUUCUAGAGCACUCCAUGUGUACAUAAUGUGUAAGUGUGUCUGUUGAAAUAUUUUUCUGGCUCUAGAAGCAGGAAAUUGUUCGUCAGAUAUCAUUAUGAGCUUUUCCUUGUUCCUCAUUCUCGAAAAUUAAUCUAAAGAGGGACGAAACAUCAUUUCCAUAUGCCUAUAAGAAUGAAAAGUGAAGAAAAAAAAAAGAAUUACGAUAAAAAUUUCCAUCAUGGACCCAAUUCUUACAUAUCUAGUUCUUCAGAGAGACCAUUAUUUGCUGAUGCAACCAGAGCUUGCUGCCGUAGUACCUGAUUCUCAGAUUCAAGAUUGGACAAAUUCAAUUCUAAUCUGAAAACAAUAAAAUACAGUUAUUUGACCACCUUGGACAAUAAUUGAAGUGUUUCAUAACAAAUUCUAUAAAUAAUUACCUUUCGAUGGUCUCUUGGAGUUUCAUCGUUUUCAGCUGUGCUUCUUCUGCGUCUCUUAGUCUUGCGUUGCUCUCAUUUUUUAGUUUACUACACUUGUCCUCAAACUCCUCCAUUUUCAUCUUCAUCUCUCUUAGCUUAUCCUAAUAUUUUCAACACAUCAAACCAUUUGUCAAAUAAAACAAUUCUCUUCUGCGAAUGUGCCCAUGUGUUUGUAUGUCUUAUUCUGCUUGGGUGCCUUCCCUUUGAAUGGAUUUAUGUUCUUUAAUAUUUGAAUGCUGUGAAUCAUUCCCCUUUUCAGAAUUUGCAUUUGCUGAUUUUGAGCUAAGUUUUGAAUCAAUUGUUUUUGCUUUGUAUUGUGAUAGAGCAUUGCCUUUGAAUAACAAUAAACUGCAUUGGGUUCAUUUUAAUAGCAAUGAUGGUUUUGAAUGGUCAGCUGGGUUGAAAUAGUGAUAGUUGGUUGUGUUGUUGAUCUUAUGGAAAUGCUUAUAAAUGGUGCUGGUUCUAUGUGAAGUAAUGAAUUCUACUUCUUAGAUGGCACGGAGGCCACAUUAAACUUGGCAUCUAUAAUAGCUGAUCAGUGAGGCAUUUUAGAAAACAACCAACAGCCAAAUGACAAAAACGUACCAAAAUAUGUACUACAAAUUUACUAUACUUGAAAAAUUGUUGUCCAGCAUAGAAGGUUCCUAAUCAGGAAGAUUCAAAUCUUUGGGAUUCUAAUUAGACUUGAUUUAAGGGAUUUUAUUCUUAUUGUAAAUAUUUCUAAUUUAGAUUGAUUAUUUAUGUAUAAAUACUCAAACCUUAUAAAGUUCAAUUCAAUUGGAAUAGAAUAAAAAGUUACUCCUAAAAUUCUUUAUAGUAUCAGAGCUUUUUUGCUGAUUUUAGGGUUUAAAUUCAUUUUUUCUCUAAGCUUUUUUUUUAUCUCAUCGUCGCCACCAGCAGGGUCGCAAGACCAUCGCCGGCUAGCCGUCCAGUUCCGACACCAGAAAGCCAAGCGCAUGAGGCUCACGCAUCUUUUUUUAUUUUAGAGAAACUUUAUCCUGAUAUAUUUUUCAAGGCUCAAUGUGAUUUUUUAGUUUAUGAUGCUUGUGAGUAUGCUAAACAUAUAAGAACCUCUUAUUGCUCCAGUAACAAUAGAAGUACGACCUCUUUUGUGACCAUCUAUUUUGAUGUUUGGGGACCUAUUCAAACGGUCUCACUAUCUGGUAAUCGUUGGUUUGUUACUUUUAUUGAUUGUUGCAAUCGCAUGACUUAGGUUUAUUUGAUAAAGGCAAAGAGUGAUGUGAUUUCUUGCUUUAAAUCUUUUCACAAGAUGAUUUGUACUCAAUUUGAUACUAAGAUAAAAGUUUAAGAACUGAUAAUAGUACAUAGUACAUGGAUGGCCCUUUUUCUGCUUAUUUGGAGUCUAAUGGAAUAUUGCAUCAAACUAGUUGUCCUUACACUAGUGCCCAAAACUGUGUUGUUGAAAGAAAAAAUAGACACCUGUUGGAAGUAGUCCGAUCUCUCAUUUUCACCAUGAACCUUCCAAAAACCUAUUGGGGAGAUGCAGUCUUAGCCGCAGCUUAUCUCAUUAAUAGAAUGCCUUAAAAAAUUCUUGCCUUUAAAAGAUUUUUAGAGGUACUACAAGGGAAAAUGCUUAUAUUGUUCCACCAAAAGUAUUAGGAUGCACGUGUUUUGUUCAUACUAGAACAGGUGGGAAGUUCGAUCCGAGGGCUAUUAAAUGUGUGUUUAUUGGGUACUCUCCCACACAAAAGGGUUACAAGUGUUACCACCCUCCAUCUAGAAAAUACUUUGUCAGUAUGGAUGUUACAUUUAGAGAGACUGAACCUUACUUCAGUGCUACCCCAUCACCUCUUCAGGGGAGGACAAUGAGAGAGAAGAGAUGAUUCAUAAUCCUAUAACUCUAGAACAUUUUACUAUGGAGGAGACUACUAUACAGGGGGAAACUAUUGGUGAUCAGGAGACUAUUGGUGAUCAAAUUGGGCAUUUGGAUAAAUCAGAUUUAAGGAGAUACUCAAGAAGAGACAAAAUAGAAGCAGAAAAAGCCAUUGUGCAGCCUACUCAGUGUCAUGAAUCUUCCUCUUCUCCAUCUGGUGAGUCUUCCCUAAACCUUGAGCCCUUUGAUGAUCUAAAUAAACCAAUUGCUCAAAGAAAAAGAGUUAGAUCUUGCACAAAACACUCUAUUUCUAACUUUCUCUUUUAUGAUUCUUUGUCUCCAUCCUAUAGAGCCUUUGCCUUAUCUAUUUCCUCUGUGUCUAUUCCACAAGAUUGGAAGGAGGCUCUUGCAGAUCCUAAUUGGAAGGGAGCAAUGAUUAAAGAGAUGAAAGCACCGGCAAAAAAUGAGACCUGGGAGCUUGUCACUCUCCCGCAACUUGUUGGCUGCAAAUGGGUGUUCACUGUGAAACACAAAACAAAUGGAUCAAUUGAAAGAUUCAAGACUAAACUAAUGGCCAAGGGAUACACUCAAACCUAUGGAGUGGAUUACCAGGAGAUAUUUGCUCAUGUUGCCAAAAUGAACUCAAUCAGAAUAUUGCUAUCUUGCGCUAUCAACCUUGAUUGGGAUCUACAACAAUUUGAUGUGAAAAAUACAUUCCUCCACGAAGUCUUGGAGGAGGAAGUGUAUAUGGAAAUCCCUCCUGAAUUUGCUGAUGAAAAAUACAAGAAAAAGUGUGCAGGCUAAAGAAGGCUUUGUAUGAGUUGAAGCAGUCACCCAGAGCUUGGUUUGAUCGAUUCCGUAGAGCUAUAAUUUCCUUUGGCUAUCAACAAAGCAAUGCUGACUAUACCCUAUUUAUCAGAAAUCACAAGGGUAAAAUUACUCUUCUUAUAGUCUAUGUUAAUGACAUAGUAACGACAGGGGAUGACACUGAAAAGAUGGCUCGACUGAAAAUACUUUUGGCUCAGGAGUUUGAAAUUAAAAAUUUAGGAAAACUACAAUAUUUCCUGGGAAUCGAGAUUUCCAGGUCAAAGAAGGAAAUCUUUAUUUCCUAGAGAAAAUACAUUCUGGAUCUUUUAGAAGAAACUGGUAUGUUAGGUUGCAAACCAGCAAAAACUCCCAUUGAGAGCAAUCACAAGCUAUGAGCACGGAUUGGUGGAUCAGUGGAUAUGGACAGAUAUUAGAGUUUGGUAGGCAGAUUGAUUUAUCUUUCGCAUACUCAACCAGACAUAGCAUAUGUAGUCAACUUAGUCAAUCAUUUUAUGCAUGAUCCUCGUGAGUCUCACAUGCAAGCUGUAAAGUCUGCUCCUGGAAAAUGUCUCAUAUUCUCUAAACACGGUCAUCUUCGCAUACAUUCAUUCACAAAUACAGAUUGGGCUGGAUCACUUGAUGAUAAAAGGUCGACUAGUGGGUACUGUACACUUGUGGGAGGAAACCUUGUCAUUUGGAGAAGCAAAAAGCAAAGUGUUGUUGCUCGACCAAGUGCUAAGGUGGAAUAUAGAGCAAUGGCGCAAGGUGUUUGUGAACUCCUACAGUUACGGAGAUUGUUGGAGGAAUUCAAACUAUUAGAUAGGGAUAAACUCCUCUUAUACUGUGACAACAAAACUGCCAUCAGUAUAGCUCACAAUCCGGUUCAACAUGACCGAACAAAGCAUAUAGAGAUUGAUCGACAAUUCAUUAAAGAGAAGUUAAUAAAUGGUGUCUUGAGAUUAGAUCAUGUGACUUCCAAUCAACAGCUAGCUGAUAUGUUUAUCAAAGGGCUCAGCAACAAGACCUAUCAUAUUUUGGUUUGCAAGUUGGGCAUGUGUGAUAUCUAUGCGCCAACUUGAGGGGAGUGUUGACCAACAUAGAAGGUUCCUAAUUAGGAGGAUUCAAAUCUUUUGGAUCCUAAUUAGACUUGAUUUAAGAUAUUUUAUUCUUAUUGUAAAUAUUCUUGAUUUAGGUUGAUUUUUUAUGUAUAAAUAAUCAAACCUUAUAAAGAUCAAUUCAAUUGGAACAAAAUAAAAAGUUCCUCCCAAAAUUCUUCAAAAACAAAUCAGGAAUCAAGUCUCUGAUCUAUUUGGAUCCAUCAAUUAUGUUGACUUAUUUACUAAUCCUAGCUGAUUCUAGAGAUUUGAUUUGAUCUGAUUAGGAUCCUUAAUUAUCUCUGUAAUUAUUAUUUGAUUAUUUGCUUUCUGUUUAGAUAUGAUUCUCUGUGUAUAAAUAGUCAUGUAGACCAAUUGUAAAGAUUAAGAGUGAAAUACAAGAAUACUCAAAAUUUUUCCCCAAAAUUCUUCAUGGUAUCAGAGCCUUUUCCUGAUUUUUUUGGGUCCAAAUCCAAUUCUUUCCUCUUUAGGGUUUCAAAACCCUAGAUCUACCUUUUUGGUACUAACCCAUUUAGGAGCCUCUCAUUCUCUCACCGCCGGCACCAGGAAAACCGCUGGACUGCCGCCGGCCGAUCGACCAGCUCCGACGCCGGAAAAGCCUGCUCGUGAGGCUCACGCGCCACCCCUUCCCUGCGCGUGACCCGUCGCUUCCCGGCGCGUGACCCAUCGUCUGUCACUGCUUUGCUGCUCCGAUCACUCCAGCGACGAUUCCGAUCAUCUUUCUGGCCUUCCCGUGCUACUAACCGGUCUUUUUGGUGAAUCGAUUGGGGUCUCUUGUGUGUAUAACCUUGGAUACCUCCUAUUCUGUCACAGUUUAUAAACCUUUACCAUGGCAGAAGGUAAAACGGUGUCAAUGACAGAAGGUAAAAGGGUGUCGAUAGCAGAAGGUAAAAGAGUCUCGAUUCCUAACUCUGAUUACUCAUUCUUUAGUGCCACAUCUGACUUUGUAAAGUCAGGUAAUGCUUCAUCUCUUCAUAAUAUUCCAUGGAUUAUCGAUUCUGGUGCGAAUAGACACAUGACAGGUUCUUCUAAAGGUUUUCUCAAUUAUUUUCCUUCCCUAACCAAAGAUAGUGUCAAAAUUGCUGAUGGCUCUUUUACUCCCAUAUCUGGAACAGGUUAUGUUAUUUGCACAUCCAAUAUUAAAUUAUCAUCUGUCCUCUAUGUUCCCCACUUUUCUGUCAACCUUUUAUCUGUUAGUGCUAUCACCAAUGCCCUUAAUUAUAAAAUUGAAUUCUUUCCUGAUCAUUGUGUUAUUCAGGAUCUUCACACAGGAAAGAGGAUUGGCAAUGGUAGACUGCAUGAUGGCUUAUAUAUGUUGGAGGGUGAUCCAAGUUCUUCGAUAUCUCAAGCCUGUUUUGGAGAAAAUAAGGAUGUCAAUCAGGAAAUAAUACAGUGGCACAGACGGUUAGGGCAUCCAUCAUUCUCUGCCUUAGAAAAACUUUAUCCUAAUUUGUUUGCUAGAACUCAGUUUGAUUCUCUAUUUUGUGAUGCUUGUGAGUAUGCUAAACACACUAGAAUAUUCUAUCCUUUGAGUCAUAAUAAAAGUCAAAUUCCUUUUGCGACUAUUCAUUCUGAUGUUUGGGGGCCUACUGAAACUGUCUCCUUGUCUGGUAAUCGAUGGUUUGUCACCUUUAUUGAUUGUUGCACUCGAAUGACUUGGGUCUAUUUGAUUAAAGCUAAAAGUGAUGUCUUUUCUUGUUUUCAAUCCUUUCAUAAGAUGGUUUGUACUCAAUUUGAUACUAAGGUGAAAAUUUUGAGAACUGACAAUGGAAGAGAAUACAUGGAUAGUAGCUUUUUUGCUUAUUUGGAGAGUAAUGGGAUAAUACACCAGACUAGUUGUCCUUAUACUAGUGCUCAAAAUGGUGUUGCUGAGAGGAAAAAUAGGCAUCUACUGGAGGUAGCUCGAUCUCUUAUGUUCACCAUGAAUCUACCCAAAGCAUAUUGGGGAGAUGCAAUUCUUGCAUCUGCUUAUCUUAUCAAUAGAAUGCCUCUCAAGACCCUUGACUUUAUAAGUCCUUUGGCGGGUCUACAAGGGAAGAAUUUAUACGUUGUUCCACCAAAAGUAUUUGGGUGUGUUUGCUUUGUCCAUACUAGGACGGCAGGAAAACUGGAUCCCAGGCCCUUAAAUGUGUGUUUGUUGGGUAUUCUCCAAUACAGAAGGGAUACAAGUGUUAUCAUCCUCCCUCUAGGAAAUACUUCGUUAGUAUGGAUGUUACCUUCCGAGAAACUGAACCCUACUUCAGUACCACCCACUCACCUCUUCAAGGAGAGAAUAAUGAGCAAAAAUAGGUGAUCUUGAAUUCUGUGAUUCUGAAUGAUAUGGUUCAACUAGAAAGUUUGAGUUCUAGUCGACAGGGGGAGAUGUCCAAUCAGGGAGAGAGAACUGGUCGUUUGGACAAGUCAGAUUUGAGAAGGUAUUCAAGGAGAGACAAGGCAGAAGAAGCCAUUAUGUAGUCUACUCAGAGUCAAGAAUCUUCUCCUGGUGAGUUACCCAGUCAUGAAUCUUCUUCUGAUGAGUUACCCACAACUCUUUCUUCUGGUGAGUUACCCACAACUCUUGAAUGUUUCAAUGACUUAGAUAAACCUAUUGCACAAAGAAAAGGGGUCAGAUCUUGCACUAAACACCCUAUUUCUAACUUUGUUUCUUAUGAAUCUUUAUCUCCUUCCUAUAGAGCCUUUGCCUUGUCUAUUUCCUUUGUGUCUAUUCCACAGGAUUGGAAAAAAGUUCUUGCAGAUCCUAAAUGGAAGAAAGCAAUGAUUGAAGAGAUGAAAGUAUUGGCUAAAAAUGAGACUUGGGAGCUUGUCACUCUCCCACCUGAGAAGAAACUCGUUGGUUGUAAAUGGGUGUUCACAGUGAAACACAAAGCUGAUGGCACAAUUGAACGGUUUAAGGCCAGAUUGGUUGCUAAAGGAUUCACCCAAACCUAUGGAGUGGAUUACCAAGAGACAUUUGCCCCAGUUGCAAAAAUGAACUCAAUCAGAGUUUUGUUAUCUUGCGCAACCAACUUGGAAUGGGACUUGCAACAGUUUGAUGUGAAGAAUGCUUUCCUCCAUGGAGAUUUAGAGGAAGAAGUGUUCAUGGAAAUUCCUCCUGGGUUCGCUGAUGAGAAGACACAAGGAAAGAUGUGCAGGUUAAAAAAGGCUUUAUAUGGGCUAAAACAAUCUCUCAGAGCUUGGUUUGACAGGUUUAGCAGAGCCAUGAUGUUCUUUGGUUACCAACAAAGCAAUACUGUUCACACUCUGUUUAUCAAACAUAAUAAGGGUAAGAUCACCCUUCUUAUUGUGUAUGUUGAUGAUAUAGUGGUGACAUGUGAUGACAAAGAGGAAAUGGCUCAACUAAAGAGGUUAUUGGCCCAGGAAUUUGAAAUCAAAGAUCUGGGAAAACUGCAAUAUUUUCUAGGUAUCGAGGUGGCUAGAUCAGAAAAAGGAAUUUUCAUCUCCCAAAGAAAGUACAUUCUGGAUCUAUUGAAAGAAACUGGUAUGAUGGGGUGUAAGCCAGCAGAAUCUCCCAUUGAAAGUAAUCACAAGCUGAAAGCAGGAACGGGUGAGUCCGUGGAUAUUGGAAGAUAUCAGAGAUUGGUAGGAAGGUUGAUUUAUCUCUCACACACUCGACCGGAUAUAGCCUAUGCUGUUAGCUUAGUCAGCCAAUUCAUGCAUGACCCUCGCGAGACUCAUAUGCAAGUUGUACUUCGCAUCUUGAGAUACCUAAAGUCUGCGCCAGGGAAAGGGCUUCUUUACUCCAAACAUGGUCACCUCCGAAUUGAAACUUUUACAGAUGCAGAUUGGGCAGGAUCUCUCGAUGACAGGAGAUCCACCUCUGGCUACUGCACAAUUGUGGGGGGAACCUUGUCACCUGGAGGAGCAAAAAACAAAGUGUUGUUGCUCGGUCAAGUGCGGAAGCAGAAUACAGAGCAAUGGCCCAAGGAGUAUGUGAACUCUUAUGGUUGCAGAAGUUAUUGGAAGAGUUGAGAUUGUCCGAGACAGACAAGAUAAACUUGUAUUGUGACAAUAAAGCUGCUAUAAGUAUAGCACAAAAUCCAGUCCAACAUGACCGAACCAAGCACAUUGAAAUUGAUCGGCACUUCAUUAAAGAAAAAUUAACAGACGGUGUCUUGAGCCUAGUUCAUGUGACUUCUAUGGGGCAACUUGCGGAUGUGUUUACUAAAGGGCUUAACAAGAAGAUCUACCAUAAUCUGAUUUGCAAGUUGGGCAUGUGUGACAUCUUUGCACCAACUUGAGGGGGAGUGUUGACUUAUUUACUAAUCCUAGCUGAUUCUAGAGAUUUGAUUUGAUUUGAUCUGAUUAGGAUCCUUAAUUAUCUCUGUAAUUAUUAUUUGAUUAUUUGCUUCCUGUUUAGAUAUGAUUCUCUGUGUAUAAAUAGUCAUGUAGACCAAUUGUAAAGAUUAAGAGUGAAAUACAAGAAUACUCAAAAUUUUUUCCCAAAAUUCUUCAAAUUAUUUUGGUGCAUAGUUUAAUUUUUGGUAAUCAUGCAUCAAGUGUUGUGAAUACAUUUGUGUCAAAAUGCAAGGCAAUAUGGUGCAGAAAAUUUGACUAACAGCCAAACAAUUAAAACGUACCAAAAACAUAUAUUCCAACACUUAAAAAACAAAUCAGGAAUCAUAUUGCUAGACUAUUGGGAUCCAUCAAAUGUCACUACAUAAUUUAAUUCUCUGGUAAUCAUGACAGGCAUCAAGUGUUGUGAAUACACAUCUGUCAAAAAAGCAAUAUGAUUCAACAAAGUGCAUUGAUAUAAAAUGGUAUUAAUGUUAUGAUGCUAAACGUGUCAGGUGUUACCUCCAGUUCCUCAUUUUGAUUCCUUAGUGACUCUAUUUUGAUGUUGUCCACAACUGGAACUUCUUUGAUGACUGGUGGGGCUUGUUCUAUAGCCAACUUCGCUGCUUCUUUCUCCCGGAUAAUUGCAGCAUAGGCUUCAUCCACCUCUCCUUGCUUUUCUUGAAGUGCAUUUUGUAACUUUGCAAUUUCUUGCCCUUUAGCUUCUUCGAGAUCAAUCUACAACAAAAUUUAUUCUGAUUGGCUUAAGUGGACAUCUUAAUUGGGUUUAGGAACUGACAUUUUUUCUGUCAGUUUCUUGCUGACUUGGAUUCUUUCAUCCAAUUAAUGUAAACUUAGAAAACUUAAUUCUUAGACUUCUCUGCAAGCAUUCUAGAUAAGAUAACCAUACGGCAGCAGCACAUAUAAGGAUUAGGAUGCACAAGGAUGGGCACUGAACAUGUUUGCAUGUCCAGCUGAAUUGUUCUGAGCAUAACUGAUAAUUGUUUUCAAGUCUAAGUCAAACAACAUUCAGAUUGACUAAAUGCUUAUUGUGUUUCUGCACAUUUGACUUUUAAAUUCUUUGAAAGACACGAUGUGCAGUAUACCCUCAAAUGCCUUUCAAAUUCCAGUCGCCAUGUUAACUCUUCAACGCGCUUCUCUAGUUUGUCCUUAGCUUCUUUAAGUGCCCCUGUUUCUCUUGCAGCCUGCACCAUUAAAUUUGUGAAUUUUAAUGUACACAUAGUAAAAUAUAAUUCUAGCUCAAGUGAAUAGUUCAAUAACUAGAUUUCCAAGGAACAGGAAGUGCAAGAAAAUUGCUUUUUGUGAAGUGAUACUCACCAUCCUUAGCUUUCUGAGCUCCUUUCUUGCUACCCUUGCUCUCCAGAGACAUUGAAGUGUGAGAGUUGCUUUCUUUUGCUGUUUAUAAGCAGAAAGAGCUUGGAACCUUCUCCAUUGUGUCUGUUAUAUUCGACAGAUAUAAGUAAAAUUUUUCAUCUGUUAGGUUCAGCAGGGCUCAGCCGGAGAGUUCUAUUACCUGAAUAAUAAUUGCAGCCUUUGUUCUUCUUCUGUAUCUAUAUUCAUUUCGAGCUGCCAUUGCACGUAAUCCAGUUUGAAUAAACAUUGCUGAUGUCUGUAAAUUUAUGUAAAGUCUUCUUGCUGUAUGAGCACGAACAUUUUUUUGUAUACGGAUAGAGGCUGCUUCUUCUCUCAUGUGUUCAUAUAGCUUACGGGCAAGUUGUGCUGUUUAAGGGACAAGACAAAUGUAACGGUCAGUCCUUUUGUUGCUAGGUUUCACAAAUAUGACCAUGGAAAUGGGCAUUGUCUGUAGAAGUGAAAAUGGCACAAACCAACUUCAUCCCAGCCCAAAGAAUACUAAUAAUAGUUUGAAAAGCAAUUAUUUUGUACAGAAUCCUGAAACAAAGGAAAGCAUUUUUUAGAGUUGAUGGGUUCUGUAAAUACAUGGGCACACCAUCAUUAUGAUUUUAUUCUAUUCUCUUGCAUACUCAUCUGUAGUAGGUUCUUGUCGCCUGAAAAUGAUAUGCAAAAGCUUAACUGCCCAACCUUCUGUUUAUUUUGUAUGGGUUAGGUAGUCUCUGUGAAUUUUUGUCAUGGAGCAACAGAAUUUAUUUCAGGAAAGAUUGGGUAACCUCUCCAGAGUUUUUGCAUGUGGAUUGAGGCCCUCCGCAUAGCAAUAAACACUUUUCUGGUUAGAUAUGUCCGAAUUUGUCUCUGGAUUCGUCUGGCAGAACUAGCCAACACCUCACUUCUUUGUGCAUCUAACUCGGCCAUCUGUCCAGCUCUGAGGAACACCUUUGUUUUCCCCAUCUGAAUCAAGCAUUUAAGGAGUUACCAAAAUAUAUAAGUAAUUUUCAGAUGUUAUACCUUUUAAUUUUCCCAUGAUAAAAGUACCUGGUAACCCUUUAAACCCAUUCUUUCCAAGAUGGCAAUGCAUGCUGAUUUUUCAUCAGACCUGCUCAAGGGAUAGUGAACAUUAUUGUUGCAAAAUAUGCUGUCAAAAUUGUGCUUUUGCUAUUGGAAAGUGAUGUAGGAGCUGUACAAUUACAUUUAUCAGAAGUUACAAAAAAGAUACAUUUAUAUCAAAAUGGUGCAUGUAGCUAAAUAAGUAAUGCUCGUAGUCUGGCCCUUGAUUUCAAGGCAUCUAUUUUCAUGCCAUCCAAUGAAAUGAUAGUAUAUGAUGAAGAGAAAGGGUCAAGAAAAAUCAGGUGUUAGUAAAAUAUACCCUUCUAGAACAUCAGGAGUAAGCAUUCCAAAACGAUCAAGGAACUCAUCAAACGUUCUUUUUGUCGGAUACCCAGCACAACUUAUCCUAAUAGCCUCUAGCACUCCCUGUCAUAUAUAUAAUCAUCAUCUACAUUAGUAGUCUGAAAAUCGUUGUUUCACCUAUAACAGAAAUUGAAAAGCUAUAUCCUAAACAAGGUACAAGAAAAUUUGAUCUUACCCCACAUCUUAAUUGGUUUAAUACGUUGAAGUUCUCAAAGAUUCCAGGCCUCAAAAGUGUAUUUGGCUUUACACAUCUGAUAUAAUGUGGCUCUGUUGUGUUCAAUGUCUCCAUUAAAGCUUGUAAUUGUUGCUAGAUGUUAGAUUUGAGCCAGGGGUGAGCCAAUGUCUCAGUAAUAUAUUAUGUAAACUGGUGCAGAAACACGGAUAAAGCUUACCUUGAUUCGGGUACCGAUGGAAGAGAAUUUGGAUUGCUUGGAUGUCUCUUCCGGUAAUGGAGGGAAAAGAUUAGCAACAAAAGGGCACUUAGAUGCAUUUAACAAGGCUUGAUGCUCUGCUACGAUAUAAUCUUUAUUUUUAUCAAGAAAUUGAUCAGCUUGGUAUGUAACCUGUUUACAAAUGGCACAGCAGAAAGAAACCAGCAAUUUGUAGAUUGUCUAGCUGGAUGGUCAAGGAUAAAAUUAAAACUAUAGCUUACAUCUCCUGCAUAGUGAUUGAUUGUGAAGUCAGUUCGAGCAAGUUUUGGCUUGCUGAAGCGUCUGUGUCCUUUGUAUGUCUGGUACAUCUUCUGUGCAAAUGUCUCAUGAGUUGACUUUGGAAACAUGCUGCAUCAAAAAUAACCUUGUGCUUAUAUCCAGAUGAUUGCAGGAAUGAAGCAUUAUUACUUUUCAUUUCUGUUUUUAUGUUCUACUGUUUUUAAUCUCUACUGGAGAUGGUGCAAGAUUCAGGCCCUUUUUCUUCUCCAAUGAAAACUUUGGCGACUAGAGAUUUUAUUGGAUGUGUUAUUAGAAACCCUGAUAUGCCAAGGUGAACAAUUUUUUAGAAGGUUAACCAUUUCAUAGCUAGAUUAUUGUCGCUCUCUCUCACAAAAUUAGGUGAUGUAUGAUGUUGCAAGUAGGAAAUUCAUACCAGGCCUCAUCAAGAAGGGCUAUUAUACCCCCAGGUUUCUGCAGGCAAGGACAUAAAAUUAAGAUGUCACGAGCAUGAUGUAUUAGCUUAAUAUAAAAACUAUCUUCUAAUAACCAGUACCUUCUCAAUAAGAUCCAAAACAUCCUGGUUAUCUACAAAUUCAACGUAGCUCCAAUUUAUUUCCUCUCUUGUAUACUCUUCUUGCUCCAUCUUAAAUACGUGCUGUGGAUAAAGAUCCAUGAGUGCAGAAUAACAAAGGUAUGCAUGUAUUGAAAUUAUUCUUAGGAAUUCUAUCUCCACCUGGUUAAAAUGUUGUUGCAACUUCUCAUUUGUUAGGUUGAUGCAUAGCUGCUCAAAACUACCAAAUACAGUAUAUUAGAUUUUCCUGUUAAAACUUUAAGAUUUCUUUUUAUUAUAAAAGCUUAUUUUCCACCAGCACCUGUUAAUCUUGAAGCUUUCAAAGCCAUAAAUAUCAAGGACCCCAAUUAUACUUGUUGCAUUGGGAUCUUGACCUAUUGAAUUAUUGAUCUUAUCCACAAUCCUGCAAUAGUAAAUUUUAAUGAGAUCAAAUUGUUUUCAAAAAUAUAACUCAAACUGAAUCUUGUGAUUGCUGUUUGACAGAAAUCAUGUUGCCAACGUCUGCUCUGCUCAAAAGUUAACUGAGCUGUACUCUUAUGUUGCAGAGAACUUCACAUUCUUUACUUAUAUUACUGGCUUACCAUCGACAUAUAGUUGAUAGUUAUGGAGUGAUAUUGACUUUCUUACCAAUCAAACAGCCUAGAGUACACAGUCUUAGCUAAGGCAUCACGACUCAAGACAGCUAAAUCUGGGUCCAGAGGUUUUGUAAUGUUUCCGUCAGGAGUCACUAUGACACGCUUGCAAAGUGAGUCUUCCAGUGCAUUCUCAUUGCACCUAAAAUCAUGUUUUUAAAACACAAGCAGACAUCUGUAGCAAUUACUAAUUAGCAAAUAAUUUCUUAUUUUGAUGAAAUAGAUCAAAUUCUAACCUUAGUAGCUCUGCUGCAGUUAGAAGAUGGUAGCGUGCUUUAUCAUCUUUGAGUUUGGAAGAAUCUGUUUCUUUUCCUUUGAUGAAGUCAAUAUUUCCAAGAUGGAGGAUCGCAGCAACUACACGGAAUAUCGCAUCCUACAGAAGAGAAAUGAACUUCAGGUAUCUGCAUUAUGCCUACAGGAAACUUCAAAUCAAUAAUUUGUUCCUCUAGGGUUGUAAAUUAUCAAAACCUGUUCAUCCUGGCUGAUCCCUACAAUAUCCAUUGCAUUUCUGGUCUCCAAAUACUCUCUGGCAUCAUCUACAUUUGCUACUUGAUAACAAUUGGAUUGGUUCAAAUAGUGGAAUUCUCUUGGAUCCCCUAACUUGAAUUUUUUUACAUCCUGAUAGGAAACAUCAGUCAGGUAGCUUUCCCAUGACUUAUUUAACUUGGUUGGAGUAGAAGAAAAAAUAUAUAGAAUCACCUCUGGGGGUGCUGCACAAAGCAUGUAAAAACAAUGGUAAUUUCUCUCAGGGUCAGAAACUUGGCAAACACGUGACCUUUCAAGAAGAUAAGUGCGAACUGCAGCUCCAGAUAUCUUCCCUUGCUUAUCAAACUGUAUCUCAACAAACUUUCCAAAACGACUGGUUGAAUCAUCCAAUUUUUAGUUGUAAGUUCAACUAAUAUAGGAACAGGAAAUUCUAUAUUUUGGGGAAAAAAAGGAGUAUAGAGUUAAAAAGGCCAUCAAAAUUUCACCUGGAAUUGUUAUUUUUCACAGUUUUAGCAUUCCCAAAUGCUUCCAGGACUGGAUUUGACUGGGGAAGUGGAAAUAUAGUUAUGCAUGCCAUUAGUGGAAUCUUCUAAUAGUCAAUAUUGUGUCAUUCUUCUAACUUACCUCCAAAACUUGUUGUUCUACAGUUCUUCCUUCUGUGCCUGAUCUGCCCCCCAUGAAUGCAAGGUAUCUCAUAAGCAUCUUUGUUGUCUCUGUUUUACCAGCUCCACUCUCCCCACUUACCAAAAUGGACUGGCUUUCCUGUUCGUUCAUCAUUGCUCUGAUACAUAAAUUUAUUAUGUUAGAUGUAUAUUAUAACAUGAUUUUGUGUAGUGUGUUUUGUGCUUCUAUAUUAUACCUGUAACAAGUGUCUGCCACAGCAAAAAGGUGUGGACUCAGCUCCCCAAAAGCUGCUCCUUUGUACUGCUCCAUCAUGUGAAUGUCGUACAAAUGCGGCAGUCUUUGGAAAGGAUUAACGGCAAUUAGAAUGUUCCCAGUGUAAGUCUGCUUAUUCAGGACUGGUUAUCAGUAUUGUGGUUUAUUGAUACACAUUUAGUUUGCAAUGCUAACCAAUUUCACAGUGAUGUCAGUUAGGUUAAUUUUGACUCACAUAUAUCUCAUUGAGAGAAAACCGACAAGCAAGGUUAUGUAAGACCCCUGGUUCAUGGAGGUAAGCCAAUUUGGUCAUGUCAUCAACUCCUGCUGGUGGUGCCUCUGUGUCUUUCGGAUAUAUGCUGAAAAUUUCAGCAGCUAUCUGGAGUUGAGGUAAAAGGAGCAAAAGUUUAGUUUAUAAGUUUUUUAAAUUGCUACAGUGACUUUUAGUUUAACACAACUUCCAUAUCUAAGAAUAUAACUUGAUCACAAGAAAAUAUAAAUAUGACCAUUAAUAAGUUUGGCUUUUUAUUGGCAUGAAAGCAGGAAAAGAGUAAAUAAUAAAAAUGGCCGAGGUAUGAUAUGCAGCUCCUUUAUGAAUGCAGUUUGAAUGCUGGCUUAUUACCUAUGCAUACAUUCUUGGACGAUUACAUACAUUAUUGUAUCAUAAAAAAUUCUGAGUCAUAUUUUUACCUUAUUGUAGUUAAUAACCUGUAUGGUAACUUUAUAAUAUUGCUUCCUUUUUCUUAUUUUACAUAGCGCACUUCAAGUAUUACAUGGUUAAAUGUGUUAUUCAAACCGUCACUAAGAAGUGUAUUUAUAUUGUUGGAAUAUUCAGGCAAAAGAAAGAAAGAAAAAUCAUUCUUUAGACUCUGAAUGGUAAAGCUUGUUUGGUUCGGCACUACAUUAUUGGAAAGGACCUGAUGAGAAGCUUCAUACUGUAGAUAGUUUCAAAUCAAUAUCAUAUCAACAUUUUAAGUCCAAAAGAACUGAAAAUUACUGAGGAUUAGAAAUAAUUAAUAGGAAUUGAACAAUUUACAGUUUUCCCGUUUGUGGCAACUAUGGUGGCAUCUCUGCCUUUGAUUGCUAUUACUUCACCAUCAAUCCAUGCAUCCUCAGGAUCCUCUACCCAAACAUGUGAUCCAACUAUGAUAUUGACUGGAGUUCCCUGAAUCAUCAAAUAUAAAGAAAAGCAUUUAAAUGUUGUGCUAGGAAAUAUAAGAUGGCAAAAGAAUAAGAAAAUGAAAAAACAGAAACUGAUGAUUGAGGACCUUACCAUAUUGAAACCUAUAUGAUCAUAAAAAUUCAGAUUAAGAAUGAUCUGAAAAAACCUGGAUGUGUUGUUGGAGAGAGAGAGAGAGAGAGAGAGAGAGAGAGAUGUCUUAAGGGAAUGGUAGCAUGUUCUGAGGAUUGUAGAGUGUUGGAUUGCUGUAUAUGAAAGUAGAAAAAGGAUGAUGUAAAGGAAUUCAAAAGAAGAGGAAUGCACAGGCGGUGGUAAUGCUAGAGCAAAAAAGCAUCAGCCACCCCUCACCUCCCUCCCCCACUUCAUUUCAACUUUUUGCUCGUUCCACCUAGGAUGCUGACUUGGCACAAUGAGAAGCCCCAACAUAAGAACUAUUUUGAUCAUCAUGAGGCCAGUUUUGUGGGUCCAUUGCUUAAGCCAUACGUAGAGACCGCAUCCACCAUAUACAUUGAUCUAUGCUUAUUGCACCCAUGUUGUUCGUGGACCCAAUGCAUUACCAUGUUAUGGUCUCAACUGUUUCAUUUGGUUUUGAUCUGUAAUAGCAUUAUUACUGGUACUUCUUGUAAUUUAAAAGCUGAUCCGUAUAUUUUUAGUAGUCACUGCCCUAACUUUUAAUUGGACGUGGCCUUGAAGUAGGGUGCUCAACAUGGUUGCGAGGGAUCAAUCGCUUGAAGCAUUCCUCAAUUAAGGACACGGCUGCCCCUUGUUUUGAGCAACUUAGAAUUUUGGAGUUUUUCCAGAAACAUUAUUUUGCCUUUGCAACGAGAUGACUGAAUUAUGGAAGAAGAAUAGUGAUAGAAUUAGAGACUACCAGUAAUGCCUGGUUUUUAAAGUAAUAUGAUGUUGUCAGUCAAUAACAUAAUGAAUGACAUUUGGUGAUUUGUGGAGAUUAAAAGAAGGCAGAUGACAACUAGAAUGGAGAUGAUCGAUGUAGACCAUGCAUCUUAUUUUUUAAGCAAGUCUCCUCUCUUUACUCACCUUUAAUAUGAAUACUAAGCAUUGCUUCCACCCUCCACCAAACUUGAGGUGGCCGUGUGGGCCUUUCUGUGGCUUUUUUAUUCGUAUUCUCAAGUCUUCCUUUCUCAAAUGCCGGUGCCAGUAAAAAAAGAGCUUCUUUCUUGUGGGACCCUGAAGACCGGAAAUUAUGCUCUGCAUAGCUUUCCAACCGAUCUUUCCUUGCAUUCCUUUUCCUUUUUCUCUUCUUUAUUGAUCUGUUCUCUCUCAUUACAACUGAUUGAAUCAUUAUUCUUGAUUGCUAAGGCUGUUCUGUAAGAUAGCUCGGAAUAACCUGCUUGUUGCCCUUGUAAAUAACCCACGCUGCUGCGCUUGCUUUGUAUGCUGUGUUAUUCAUGAGGUGCCUUCUGUUGUCAGAGCUUUUUUACAAAUAAAAUUGGGCCAAGUAAUGGAUACAGAAUUGGCCCAAGAAAAUAAAUUCAUGCAAUGUCUCCCCAGUAAGAAUAUAAGCUGGGAUUAGACUUCAAACUCUGGAGAUAAAGCGGGAAUUCAACACCCUUUACCUUUUGUUUGAGAGGAGAUUUUUCAAGGUAAUGAAAAGUUUCUCUAAGAUUUAAAAAUCUUGAAACUGUGUUUAGGAAGAAAUGUAAGUUUUUAAAGUAAGGUCUUUCGAAAACUCUCAAUUUUAACCCACCGGAUUGGUGGAUUGAGAAUGUUUCUUUUUAAAUCCUUCAAAUAUCUUAAAAAACAAUCAUUACUUUUCAAACAUAAGAAAAUUAUCAGAGUUUAAAAAUUAUAAAAAAUCAUGCCUUAUAAAAUUUUAUUUUACUCUAUUUCGUUUUAGACAGAGUAUUAAUUUAUUCUUAAAUAAAUUAUUUAAGUCUUUUUUUUAUACAACAGCGCUAUAUUUUUCAUUCUUCUCAAAUUUUUUAGUAUCUUUUAAUAUAUUUUUAUUUUCGCCAAUUGUGUUUUUCUUCAAUUUCAUGAGAUCUGCUUGCAUGAAUUUAUCUUUUCAUAAGAUCUGCUUGCAUGAAUUUAUCUUUUCAUGAGAUCUGCUUGCAUGAAUUUAUCUUUGUCCUUUUUUAUUAUUAAAACAUAACUAAUUUCUAUCCUGUAUCCUUUUUAAUUUUUGGAAUAAAAAAGCUAACGAAAUCAGAAAAUCACUUUUUAAUUUUUAUGAUUUUCAUUUGUUACAAUGCAUUUUCACUAUUUUAAACAUAAAAAACAAAUCCUAAAUAUAUUAUUUAUGUAGUUCUUUUUAACAUCUAUAAAAGCAAACCUAAGAAUAAACAUGAAGAAUGAAAAUCAAAGAAGCCCAAAAAUUAUUUUAAAUCCUCUUGUACCCUAAGGGAGGGUUUGUAUUCUUCAUUUCCAGCUUGAAUAACACCACAUAAGGAGCGACUCCAAGAGGCCUAGUACAUGUAUUUGCUACUUCGGCGGAAGAAGUGGGAGGAGUGUUUUGUUAAUCAAACCGACAUGUGCCCAAUCUCGAUUUUCAGCUUAUUAAGGAAGAAACAAGAAAAACUAAAAUUACAUUCUAAAUAAAUCACAUAAGUCUUGCAACUGCACUUCAGUAUUUGUAGAAAAAAGAAAAUAAGGAGAUCCUUUCAAAUAUUUGGGAAUUUUGUGUGCUACUUGCAUUAUUUGCCUGCACUUUGUGUGAGUCUUUAAAUUUUUGAAAUUAUGAUUAUAUAAAUAUCACAUUUUUUUGUUAUUUUUUAGUAUUUAUAUUUAUAGACGAUACACUAUAUAUAUAUAUAUAUAUAUUUUUAUAAAAUAAUAAUUAUUUUAAAUAUAUAUUGAUGCUAAAUAAACAACCGCAAAAAGUGAGUCACGACCUGUCGUUACGAGAUAGGUUCAUGGGAUAAGUAUCAAGUGAGUAGGAGAUGAUUGAACAUCCGAGUUAUCACUGAAAGACUCACUAUUUUUCGAUAAGGCGAAUCUCGGCACGAAGUUAUUAUUAUCAAAUACAACUUGGAACAUCUCCAUUACCUAUGAUCACAGAAUUUUUUCCUACCAGUUGGUAGGGGUGAGCAUUCGGUCGGUUUGGUUCAAAACCGAAUCGAACCGAAUAAACCGAAAACCGAAAUUUUAGUGUUUAUAAAAACUGAACCGAACCGAUUUUGGUCAGAAACCGAAUCGAACCGAACCGGUCUGAUUCGGUUUGAUUCAGUUCGGCUUGAUCGGUUUCGAAUUUUAAUAAUUUUUUUAUUUUUUACACUUUAUUUUUAGUAUUUUAAAAUUUAAUUAAAAUAUUUUAAUUUUAAUAUGAUUUAAUUUCUCUAUAUUAUUGAAAAAACAUAUUAUUAUUACUAAUCGGUUCGGUUCGGUUUUUUCGGUUUUUUUUUAUCAAAACCGAACCGAACCGAAAUAUAUAAAAAACCGAACCAAAAUUUUAAAUCAGUUCGAUUCGGUCGGUUUUUUCGGUUUGAACCGAAUACUGCUCACCCCUACCAGUUGGUGAUCUUUCUUAUCAAGAAGACGGCCACAGUACUACUGAAUUAUCAAAAAAAAAAUACUAAAUCCAUUCUUGUCUCUUACAGUAUAAAAGGAGAAGAACGACAGAGACCAAGUACGUCAUUCUCAAAUACUAAAACUCUAAACAUUUCAUUACACUUUCUCUACUCGUUGAGAUACUGACUUGAGUGUCGGAGUGGCUGCCAUGGGCACCCACCACCUCACAUUGUCUCCCUUGCAGGUUCUAGCCAAUCGUAGUACAAUUCCAUUCCGGCCAUGUUAUCAAUCUAAUCUCCACAACAUCAAUUGGUUCUGUUGCCAAAAAAUCCAUUGAACUUUAUCUGUUCAUUGGAUUGAAAUCGAUUUCUUGUUCCUUUAUAUUUUAAAGAAGAAAAAGAGGAUCUCUCUCUUCUCUGAUCUCUUGAGAUGGCCGGAGUGGUACAUGUCAUUACGGGAGGACCUGAUAAGAGCAAUGAAAAAAAUAAGCGUAAGGCAGGGGAUGUCUUAUUUGUCCAUUAAGAACCAUGGGUCAAACAAAAGGUAAGAUUUGGUCCUGCCGAUAAGGCGGUAGGGUCCUUUCAAAAUGAUCCCUUGGUUGUUAAAAUCUUGUUGAAUCGGUAUAACGUAAGGUGGGUGCUUGUGGAUACAAGUAGUUCUAUUAAUCUUCUCAUCUUAAAUAUUUUCAACAAGUUAGGCUUAGAUAAAAAUAGUCUUGCUAUUUCUAUCUGUAACGACCCGGAAACCGGACCGCUACCAACGCUAGGAUCCAGAUCGGUAUAAGGCCGCCGGGACCCGUAGCAAGCCUAACAUACAUCCUGUAUACCUGUUAAAUCCCAUACAUGAUCAAACAUAUACAUAAAACUUUAAACUUUUUCUUUCAUUUACCAAGCUUAACCUGUGCAUGCACAACUCAAAAACAUAAAACCCCACACUGGAACCCUCAUCAAAUGCUCCAAUGGGGCAACAUAACAUAUAUCAAGCUUGGCUUAACAUAACUCAUCAUAAAACAUUACAUAUAGGUCAUGUAUAAAAAGGGAUUUACUAUAAACGUUAGGGCCAAGUAUAAUACUAAACCUCAUUACAUUAUCUUACAUUACAUCACUUUACAUUAUCCAUGUCCACUACUAUACUAUUAUAUAACAUAACUAUAACAUACCCUUAACCAUUACUCUUUUGACUCCCUAUGCUACCUCUGGUCCUGCAAAACUGGGGUUAGGGGAAAGGGGUGAGCUAAAAAGCCCAGUGAGCAGAACAAUAAAACAAUUCAUUAAAACAUAUGCUAUCAUGGAAUGCAUCACAUCACAAACAAAUCGCAUCAAGGAUGGAAUUGUCACCAAUAGCCCUCUGCAUAACGUACCAGGUCUAGCCGUGCCAGGGGCGAUACGGCCACACCUGGUUUUCUCUUACAUAUAUAUAUCAUAGCAAGUCCAACUGUGCCAAGGGUUUUACGGCCUCACCUGGUCUUCUCUUACAGUCCAACUAUGCCAGGGGCGAUACGGCCUCACCUGGUCUUCUCUUACAUAUAACAUAGUGCUAGGAGCGAUACGGCCUCACCUGGUCUUUCCAUCUCAUAUCAUAUCAUACCAUCUCAUGUCAUAUCAUAUCAUCUCAUAUCAUAUCAUACCAUCUCAUGUCAUAUCAUAUCAUCUCAUGUCAUAUCAUAUCGUCUCAUGUCAUAUCAUAUCAUAUUAAGGGCUAGAGGAUCAUCCAAUAUCCAUCCACAACAACAUCAUCAUAUAAUGCAAUGCAACAUAUUCGUGGAUUCUAAUGCAACAACCUAUAAACAUGGCAAUCGUGAUGCAUGGACAUGCUUAAAAGUUAAUUUGCUUUAAAUAAAAGAGUUGUGUUCUACUCACCUCUGGCUACCUCUGGACUAACUCUGAAGCAGCUAACACUGCUGAACACUUCGGUUCCUCAAGUCCGAUCCUCUUGAAGAUCGAGGGUUGGUGCGAUCCCUAACUUGGAGAUAGGAGAAAUCUAGCUCCUUGGGUCUCCAAGCUCCAAAACUUGGUCUUAAGCUCAAAACCCUUAGCUCGAGAAUGGGGAGAAAACUCGCCCAUUUUCGGUCUGAGGGCCUUUUAUAGGUGGCCGGUCAACCACUUUCGGCGGCCUAAGCUGCUUUCACAACUUCACCACCUUCGACAGCCUAACGUGCCCCCUAAACUAUCACAUGUUCGGCGGCCGAACUUGAGGUUCGGCGGCCGAAAGAAAGCCACUUUCGAAAGCCUAACGUGCCUCCUAAACAGCCCCAUGUUUGGCUGCCGAACUUGAGGUUCGGCUGCCGAACUUGAGGUUCGGCUGCCGAACUUGAGGUUCGGCUGCCGAACUUGAGGUUCGGCUGCCGAACUUGAGGUUCGGCUGCCGAACCUGGGUUCUUCCCUCCUUGGUCUUUUCUUUCAAAACUCAAAUCCUUUCUAAUCAAAACCAUAAAAACAUGUAAAAACAUUCUAGAAAACCUUUACUUUACCCUUUUAGAGAGUUCCGACAUCCGAGAUUCCACCGGACGGUAGGAAUUCCGAUGCCUGAGUCUAGCCGGGUAUUAUAUUCUCCUCCCCUUAAGAACAUUCGUCCCCGAAUGUUCCUCAACUAGCACAUGCAAAGCAAAACAUAUCACAUAAAACAUAAAAACAUUAUCCUUAAAAGAGAUAAAGACAUUGCUGGAGUAUGAACUCCCGGGUCUCCCAAACACCUUCGUCCUUUUUUAUGGUGAUUCUAAAAGAUUUUCACCAUCAGGAUUCCCUUGUGCCUCAACUUUCUGAUCUGCGUGUCUAGGAUCCAACAUAGGUGAGAUCUCCUAGGAUCUCUAUAUCUGAUUCACUACGAACCUUGCUAGGAUCUGACACGAACUUCCAUAGCAUUAGAACAUGAGAACCCAGGUGGAUUCUUUCCAUGGGAACAGGUAAAUCUAACUUGUACGAUACAUCCCCAACCUUUUGCAAAGCCUCAAAGGGUCCGAUGUAUCGUGAAGCUAGCUUACCUUUCUUCCCAAAACGAACCACCCCUCUUUUAGGAGACACCUUGAGCAAUACCAUAUCUCCCUCCAGCAACACUAUAAGCUUCCUACGAGCAUCUGCUUAACACUUCUGCCGGCACACAGCCGUCCUGAUUCUUUCUCUGACAACUGACCUUCCCUCUGCUGUAUUGUGGGAUAAACCACCAAGUGAUUUCCGGCUGGGGCAUUUGUCAUAACAUUUGCCUCACCCGGAUGCUACCGAAACUUAUAACCAUAGUCACUAAGCAGUUAUACCCAUUUUCUCUGCCUUAGGUUUAACUCUUUUUGACUCAAGAUGCACUGCAAGCUUUCAUGAUCUAUAAAGAUCUCUAAUUUUUUUCCCAUAAAGGUAACACAUCUACAUCUUGAGUGCAAAGAUCACAACUACCUUUUCUAGAUCAUGUGUAGGGUAAUUCAACUCAUGCUCCUUUAACUGCCUAGAAGCAUAAGCAACUACCCUUUCAUACUGCAUCAACACACAAUCUAGUCCCACACGGGACGUAUCACAGGACACUGUGAAGACUUCAUCACUGGUAGGCAGAGUUAACACCGGUACUGACAUCAACCUUCUCUUUGGCUAUUCAAAACUUUCUUCAUACUAUUUUGACCAACUAACCUUUGUUUCUCUUUGGUCAACCCGGUCAUAGGAGCAACAACUCUAGAGAAGUUCUGGAUGAACCUCCUGUAGUAACCUGCCAACCCAACAAGCUCUUAAUCUAUGUCACUGUGGUGGGUCUAGGCCAGUUAACUACAGCUUCAACUUUCUUGGGAUCUACCUCAAAACCCCUGUUUCUGACACAUUGCGACCCAAGAAAGAUAUGCUCCUUAACCGAAACUCACAUCUGGAGAACUAGGCACCCAAGCCAUGUCCUCUCAAGGUCUGUAACACUGUUCUCAGAUAAUGGGCAUACUCCUCUACACUUCUGGAAUACACCAAGGUAUCGUCAAUGAAGACAAUAACGAAGUGGUUCAGAAUCUAACUAGAAACUCUGCUUAUGAGAUCCAUGAAUGCUGCAGGGGCAUUUAAUAGCCCGAACAGCAUUACUAGGAACUCAUAGUGCCCAUAUCUGGUUCUGAACGCCGUCUUCGGCACAUCUUCUUCUCUGAUCCUUUACUGCUGGUACCCGGAUUUCAGAUCUAUCCUGAAAAGACGACCAACUCCUGCUAGCUGGUCUAAAUAGAUCGUCGAUCCCAGGUAACCGAUACUUAUUCUUGGUAGUGACUUUGUUCGACCGCCUGUAGUCGAUACAAAGCCUUAAGGAUUCAUCCUUCACUCUCAUAAACGACACUAAAGCACCUCUAAGUGAGAUACUCGGUCGGAUGAAACCCUUACCUACCAACUCUUAUAACUGUUCCUUUAGCUCUUUCGACUUCUUUAACUCUACAGGUACCAUCCUGAAGGGAGGGAUAGAGAUGGGUCUGGUUCCCAUCAUUACUUUAAUUUCGAACUCUAUCUCCCUAACAAGUGGUAAACCUGACAGCUCGUCUGGAAAAACAUCUAAAAACUCUCUCUAACUACGGGCACUGAAGCUGGUUCCCUAACCUGACUGCUAUGCUUUCUCACAAGAGCAAGAAACCCCCUGACAACCUUUUCUGAACAACUCACGAGCCUGUAGGGCUGAUAUCAAACCUCUAGGUAUCCCUACUCUGUCCCCUCAAAGGAUUACCUCUGAUCCACCCUGAUCUCUGAACCUGACUACCUUGCCUCUGCUAUCCAAGGUAGCACCAUGAGUAGAAAGCCAAUCCAUCCCUAGAAUGACGUCAUAAUCAGUCAAAUCUAGAACCACUAGGUCGGCUAGAAGGCAUUUACUCUCUACAUACUCUGAACUAUACUGACAGACUGACUCUGUCACAGAUGGAUCACACUUGGGUCCACUGACCCAAAGAGAACACUCUAACCCAGAAGCUAUCAACCCACUCUAUCUACGGCUCUCAAAGCAACAAGGAAAGAGAAACAUCAGGGUCCACUAAAACAUAUACAUCAGAACAUAAAAGAGUGAGAUUACCUGUCAUCACCAUGUCCAAUGUGUCAGCCUCCUGCUGGGUCAUGGCGAAGAUCCGUGCCGGAGCCGAUGGACCUUCUCCGCGGGAACCUGCUGAAGAAGGGGUUACCCCUCUCCUUCUGCCUCUGCCCUGCAUCGUGGCUGGAGCUACUGGCUAAGCUAUACUGUCUGAAGCUGUCUGCUGGGACCGUGCCAAAAAGGUCGCAGUGGGACACUCACGUGUCAUGUGCCCCUCCUGUCCGCACCUGAAACAUGUUGUUGUCCCAAUCCAACAGACUCCCUUAUGCGGCCUACUGCACCUCGUACAUCUGGAACCAUCCAAACCAGAGCUCGAACCAUCGCCUAAUCCCAGACCAGACUUUAACCUGUUCCAGAACUUGCUCUUCUUUGAUCUUCUGAGGCCUCUGUCCCCCUUUUUACUCUUUGCGGCAGCCUCACUCAGAGAGGAGAGAUCAACAUUCCCUGUCCCCGGGGUUUUGAAACCCGAGGAUUGUGCCACCUGUUGUUUCACUGUUCCUUGGAUGAUGGCACUAGCUUCCAUCUUUCGGGCUAUAUCCACUAUCGCAUGGAAACUCUCCCUCUCUGCUGACUGGAUCAAGGAGGAAUACCUGGAAUGAAGUCUCAUGAUAUACCUCCUAGCUUUCUUCUGAUCUGUGUCAAAGGUUUGCCCUGCAAAUGGCAACAGUUCCAAGAACUUAUAUGUGUACUCAUCUACACUCAUAUCCCCCGUCUGCCUUAACUGCUCAAACUCAAUCAUCUUAAGCUCCCUUGAACUGUCUGGAAAAGCCCAUCCUGCGAACUCAUUGGCAAACUGAUCCCAGGAUAAGCUCUCCAACCUUGGGUCCACAUAGUUUUUGAACCAUUCUCUUGCUUUCUUGCAUUUCAAUGUGAACCCCGCCAUCUGAAUGGCUCUACUGUCGCUUGCUCCUAGCUCAUCUGUUAUCAUCUUUACCGUUCUGAGAUACUCAAAAGGGUCAUCACCUGUUUUGAACUUGGGGGCAUCCAACUUUAGGUAAUCCGUCAUCUUCACUUUACCCCCAACCGAUGAGCUAGGUUUGGAUGUUUAGACAUCCUGGACUACUGGUUCUGCUGAUGGAGGAGGAGGCGCAGCAUUCCCUGGGUUAGGGUUUGCUGGACCUGGGAAAAAGGGUGAGGGUGGAAACAUGGGAUACUGUAGAUAUGGCGGGUAAAAGGAAGGAUAGGGCAUAAAGGUGGGAUAUGGGUUAUAGCUAAAGAAAUCCGAUGCAUUCCCCAUCGGAUACCCUGGCCCCUGUGGGUAGGGUGGAUACUGUGGUGGAACAAAACCCGAGACCUGAAUGUCUCCUUGGGACUCUCCCAUAUCCUCUCCUGACAUACUCAUGCCCAAGCUGCCAUCUCUUCGCUGUUCAUCCUCCUCUGAUCCCCUCAUAUCCGCUGACAUAUCACCCUGAACUGCUCCCCUUCUGCUCACAUCAAAAGACCUUCUAGGGUCCCUUGAUGUUCCUUCUCUGCUUGAUCUACAUGACAUUGCCCUUGGCAAUGCUGGGGGAUGGGCACCCAUGCCCUCAUUCUCUGGUGGUACUCCAGUCAAUCUUGCAGAUCGACGAGUGCCUCUCAUCCUAUUUCUCUGAAACACAACAUACAUCUCAUAGCAUUAGCAUCACAUAGUUCAUGUGGAAGCACAUGAACCCACAUCGCAUACAUAGCAUAUCAUACAAAUAUAGCAUCAUAUGGUCCAUGUGGUAACACAUGAAUCCUCAUCACAUACAUAUCAUAUCAUUAAUGCACAUGCAUUUUAUCAUUGCAUUUCACAUCAUCAUCAAGACAGGACUCGACAUUCUAUCCUAGUGGACAUGAUUUUUCCUAUUGUACUUGCCCUUCUAUGACCUCUAUGAGCCCGACACACUCUAGGUCUUACCAUGUGAACCUAGGGCUCUGAUACCAAUCUGUAACGACCCGGAAACCGGACCGCUACUGGCGCUAGGAUCCAGAUCGGCAUAAGGCCGUCGGGACCCGUAGCAAGCCUAACAUACAUCCUGUAUACCUGUUAAAUCCCAUACAUGAUCAAACAUAUAUAUAAAACUUUAAACUUUUUCUUUCAUUUACCAAGCUUAACCUGUGCAUGCACAACUCAAAAACAUAAAACCCCACACUGGAGCCCUCAUCAAAUGCUCCAAUGGGGCAACAUAACAUACAUCAAGCUUGGUUUAACAUAACUCAUCAUAAAACAUUACAUAUAGAUAAUGUAUAAAAAGGGAUUUACUAUAAACGUUAGGGCCAAGCACAAUACUAAACCUCAUUACAUUAUCUUACAUUACAUCACUUUACAUUAUCCAUGUCCACUACUAUACUGUUACAUGACAUAACUAUAACAUACCCUUAACCAUUACUCUUUUGACUCCCUGUGCUACCUCUGGUCCUGCAAAACUGGGGUUAAGAGAAAGGGGUGAGCUAAAAAGCCCAGUGAGCAUAACAAUAAAACAAUUCAUUAAAACAUAUGCUAUCAUGGAAUGCAUCACAUCACAAACAAAUCGCAUCAAGGAUGGAAUUGUCACCAAUACCCCUCUGCAUAACGUACCAGGUCUAGCCGUGCCAGGGGCGAUACGACCACACCUGGUUUUCUCUUACAUAUACAUAUCAUAGCAAGUCCAACUGUGCCAGGGGCGAUACGGCCUCACCUAAUCUUCUCUUACAGUCCAACUAUGCCAAGGGCGAUACGGCCUCACCUGGUCUUCUCUUACAGUCCAACUAUGCCAGGGGCGAUACGGCCUCACUUGGUCUUCUCUUACAUAUAACAUAGUGCUAGGGGCGAUACGGCCUCACCUGGUCUUUCCAUCUCAUAUCAUAUCAUACCAUCUCAUGUCAUAUCAUAUAGUCUGAUGUCAUAUCAUAUCAUAUUGAGGGCUAGAGGAUCAUCCAAUAUCCAUCCACAAUAACAUCAUCAUAUAAUGCAAUGCAACAUAUUCGUGGAUUCUAAUGCAACAACCUAUAAACAUGGCAAUCGUGAUGCAUGGACAUGCUUAAAAGUUAAUUUGCUUUAAAUAAAAGAGUUGUGUUCUACACCUCUGGCUACCUCUGGACUAACUCUGAAGCAGCUAACACUGCUGAACACCUCGAUUCCUCAGGUCCGAUCCUCUUGAAGAUCGAGGGUUGGUGCGAUCCCUAACUUGGAGAUGGGAGAAAUCUAGCUCCUUGGGUCUCCAAGCUCCAAAACUUAGUCUUAAGCUCAAAACUCUUAGCUCGAGAAUGGGGAGAAAACUCGCCCAUUUUCGGUCUGAGGGCCUUUUAUAGGUGGUCGGUCAACCACCUUCGGCGGCCUAAGUUGCUUCCACAACUUCACCACCUUCGGCAGCCUAACAUGCCCCCUAAACUAUCCCAUGUUCGGCGGCCGAACUUGAGAUUCGGCGGGCGAAAGAAAGCCACUUUCGGAAGCCUAACAUGCCUUCUAAACAGCCCCAUGUUCGGCGGCCGAACUUGAGGUUCAGCAGCCGAACCUGGGUUCUUCGCUCCUUGGUCUUUUCUUUCAAAACUCAAAUCCUUUCUAAUCAAAACCAUAAAAACAUGUAAAAACAUUCUAGAAAACCUUUACUUUACCCUUCUAGAGAGUUUCGACAUCCGAGAUUCCACCGGACGGUAGGAAUUCCGAUGCCUGAGUCUAGCAGGGUAUUACACUAUCCUCUAGUAGGAUUAAGAGACAAGACCAUGGCAGUGUUGGACACCAUCAACCUCCCCUUGUAACGACCCCAAAAUGGACCGUCACCGGCGCUAGGAUUCAGGUCGGCUUAAGGCCGCCAGAACCCGUAGCAAGCCUGCAAUACUCUCUGUGUACCUGUAAAACUCAUACAUGAUCAUACAUUUUCUGUGAAAAUAAAACUCUUUGCUGAACCAAGGCUUAACCUGUGCAUGCACUAUCUCUGUACUCUGUACUCUGUACUCUGUACUCUGUACCCCUGACUAGAGCUUGCUCUAGAUGGGUUAAUUCAUACCUGUUAAGCCUGGUGAUAAAACAUAUAUACAUAUACAGAUCAUGUAUGUAACAAAAGCUUUACAACACAACAAAACUAAGGCAAGCACAACUCUAACGUUAUACACAACUAUAACAUCUCUUUAAAAUUUACAUGUCCACUCUAUACUAUUACAAGCUCUUUUACUCUUUCUGUACGCUGCUGAACUGUCCCUGUACACAGAACACUGAACCUGCAAAACUGGGGUUAAGGGAGUGGGAUGAGCUCUAUAGCCCAGUGAGUAGAACAGUAAAAGAUCUCAGUAAAACAUGAUCUCAUGAAAUGCGUCAUAACACAGAUAAACCACAUCAAGAGUAAACCUGUCACCACAUAGUCCCAGUAACUCUGUGCCAGGGCGUAGAAUCGAGCACCUGGUCUUCCUGUCAUAUAUGUAUAUGUGUAUAUAACACCUCUGUACUUACCAUUGCCAGGGCAUAGUCAAAGGCUCCUGGUCUUUGCUAUACCUGCCAGGGCGUAGUCAAAGGCUCCUGGACUUGCUAUACCUGCCAGGGCGUAGUCAAAGGCUCCUGGACUUCCUGUCUGUGACUAUUGGAUCAUUCAGCAUUUACUCACAUCAACAGAUAACUAUGCAAUGCAACGUAUUCGUGGAUACUAAUGCAAUCAACCUAUGGCAUAAUCAUGAUGCAUGAGAUAUGCUAAAACAUUUCAUUAGUCAUUUCAAAGAAUUAAGCUUAGUUCCACUCACCUCUGGCUAACUGGACUGACUGACUCUGCAGGCUCUGAAAACGCUGGGCAGUACUCACUACUGCUCUCUCUGGUUCCUCUGGUCUGUAUAGGUACAGAUAAACUCACAUGAGGGACCAAACUAACUGCUGACCAACUCUAUUAAACUUCCCAAAACUCCCCUUCAACUCACUCUACACCUCAUGCAAAGCAUGCAAAGGAAAGCUGGACAGAACACUUUCGGCGGCAGGUUCGGCGGCCGAAAGUCUUCUCCAGAGACGAAACUCAAGCACCUUCGGCGGCACCUUCGGCGGCCGAAGUCUCCAAACAGAGCCGAACAUGCAAAACUCGCGGGGGCAAGCUGUGGCAGCCUAAGCCACCAUGCAAGAGGUUCGGCGGCCGAAUGAACCUUCGGCUGCCGAACCUGAGUUCAUCCAGAACUCAGCCCGACGGCAAACCAAGCUCUUCCUUCCCUUCAACAUCUCCAAACAUGCAUAUAUCAACUCCUCAACACUCAUAUACAUAAGUAUAUGUUCACAGGGGUCCAAAACUAUCUACUAACCCCAAACAACAAAUCAAACAUAACACAUAAACAUGGAUACAUCCAUAUAUCAUCAAAACCACCAUGACUACCCUAAGCAUGCAUCUCUUUCCUUAAUCCCCAUAAAACCUUCAGAAAACAUAUAACAAGGUCUGGAUCUUCCCUUACCUCUAUAAACAGGAAGAUGAACGGUCUGAACCCAAGGAAAACAGAUCAACUCUUCUUCAACCUUACGAACUCUCAACCCUCACCUUUUUGCUUCAAACUCUCACACUUUGUUGAACACAAGCUAACUCGUGCAUGAGCUACUCAAACUGAGCAAAUAAAACAUGGGAGACGUGACCACCUUCUGGACAUGAUCUGGUGAUUACACCUGUCCAAAAUGCUGACUAAGGGAUACAAAACUGCUGGCUCAGCAACUCAGCUUCGGCUGCCGAAGCGCAUGCAAAACCAUGCAACAUUCGGGGGCCGAACCUGAAUUCGGAAGCCGAACAUUGAGCACUUUCGGCGGCCGAACUUACCUUCGGCGGCCGAACUUGGCUCCUCUGCCUUGGGUCAUUUUAGCUCAAAACUUAAGUAAAACAGUAAAACACAUCAUAACCCUUAGUCAAACAUAAAGCCUACCCUCCUCUAGAAGUCCGACACCCCGGAGUCCACCGGACGACAGGAAUUCUGAUGCCGACUUCUAGCCGGGUAUUACACCCCUGGUGUUGGGUGAUGAGAGAUAUAGGCGAGAGUUAUACGCAGAGUUUGUGGUAGUAGACAUCCCAUUUGCAUACAAUGUGAUACUCAGCCGUCCAAUCCUAAACUGCCACAGUAUCAUUAUUAACAUGGAUGCUAUGUGUCUUAAGCUUCCAACUUUAUGAGGCAUAACAGUGGUCCGAGGUCAUCCAAGAUUAGCCAAAGAAGAUUACGGAUACCGAAUAAAAGCCUUGGCAAAGCAACCAUGCCCAUUGACUUACUGGAAAAAUCGGAAUCUCACGUAAAGCUAGAAACAACUGACCCGGUAGAGAAGGUCCAGAUAGAAAAGGAGCAGAAUGUAUGGUUCAGCACAGCACUAACCGGUAAAAUAAGGACUCGUCUGGUAGAAUUGUUGAAAAUCCAAGCGUUGACUUUUACCUAGUCUCCAAAAGAUGUAAUGGGUGUAGACCUGGCCAUUAUUACUCAUAAGCUAUCUAUUGACAAGAAUGCCAAACCAGUCCAAUAAAAGAAAAGAAGGUUCGCACCAAAGAUGCAUCAAGUGAUCAAAGAGAAAGUUGAUAAAUUUUUUAGUACAAGAUUAAUAAAGGAAGUACAGUAUCCCACUUGGCUGGCCAAUGUGGUUCUGGUAAAAAAAGCUAAUGGAAAGUGGAGAAUAUGUGUGGACUUAACCAACCUGAAGAAAGCAUGCUCGAAAGAUCAUUAUCCUUUUUCGUCCAUCAACAGAUUAGUGGACUCAACCUCAGGUCAUGCUGUGAUUUUUUUCCUCGAUGCCAUCUCGGGAUAUCACUAAAUCAUGAUCGAUAUCGAGAACACAGAAAAGACUGCAUUUAUAACAAACGAGGGAGUUUUUUGCUACAAGAUUAUGCCUUUUGGAUUAAAAAAUACAGGAGACAAAUACCAAAUGCCGGUGUCAUGAAUCUUUAAGGAUAUAGUGAGGUCAACCGUCGAAGUAUAUGUCGACGACAUGGUGGUUAAAAGUCGAUCAUUAGAAGAAUAUCCGAAGGGUCUUUGAUAUCCUGGACAAGGCGGGUAUGAAGCUGAAUUCGGAAAAGUGCACCUUCGAGGUAAAGGCUGGAAAAUUUCUAAGAUAUAUCAUCUCAGAAAGGGGCAUAGUAGUGAAUCUAGAGAAUAUCAUAGCCUAUCCAAAACUUGGAAGCACCUAAAAUCAUCAAUGAGAUACAAAGACUAAAUGGGGCCAAUCAUUGCUUUGGGCCAAUUUAUAUCUUGUUAAGCUAGAAGGUGUCUUCCAUUCUUCAAAACCUUGAAAGGUAAAGAUAAGUUUGAGUAGAAAAAGGAGUGCGUAGAGGCCUUUGAAAGUUUAAAAAUAUUUUUAUCCUCUCCUCCAUUGCUAAGCCCGCCUAUCGAAUGCAAAGUUUUAUUUCUAUAUUUGUUUAUAAAGCAGGAAACAAUUUGCUCGAUACUAGUUCGCGAGAGCAAUGGGGAAUAAAUCCCAAUAUAUUAUGCCAGCCAAGUUUUAAAAGGAGCAGAGUUGAAUUAUCCUCCUCUUGAAAAACUGGCAUUUGUAGUACUCAUGUCAGCUAUAAAGUUGUGGUCAUACUUUGAGUCACACACCAUAGAAGUUAGGACCGAUUAUCCCCUGCGAAUAGGGGUGUAAAUGAACCAAACCGUUCGUGAGCUAUUCGAGGUGCGAUUCAAUAAAAGCUCGAUCGAGCUCGACUCGAUUUCUAAACGAGCCAAGCUCAAGCUUAAUUUUUAGGCUCGUUUGGUAAACGAGCCAAGCUUGAGCUCCAUAGUAUUCGGCUCGUUAAGGCUCGUGAGCUCGACUCGUUUCUAAGUUCAUGAGCAGGCUCGCAAAUAGGCUCGUGAACAGUCUCGUUAAGUAAACUGAAAUUACUAUUAUAAGAGAAAUAAAUUCAAACCCUGCAUAUACUUUCAUUAGCCAAAUCUAAAUUUUUUAAAAUUCAGCUCUAUAUAGCUUAGUUACACUCUUAAACUUGCAUAUAUUUGGAUCAUUAAGAUUUAAAAGCUCAUCUUUAUAAGUUUACGUGCUAAUUUGUAGAUAUACUUAUUUAACUAAAAUUAGUUUAGUCCUAAACUUAUUAGUUUUAAACUAAAAUCCAUUAUAUAUGUAAAUAAAUUAAAUUACUCGUGAACUAUUCUCGACUAAGCUCGAUAAAAGCUCGACUCAGCUCGAUAAAAACUCGACUCGUCUAAGCUCAUUUGCUAAAUGAGCCAAGCUUGAGCUUCUUAAUACUCGGCUCGAGUUCGAAAUGAGUAAAGCUCAAAUUCGGCUCGAGCUCGAAAAAAUUUUAACGAACCAAGCUUGAGCUCUUCAAAACUCGGCUCGGCUCGGUUCGUUUACACCCCUACCUGCGAAAGAUUCUAUAUAGACCAAAGCUGACAGGACAGUUGUCCACCUGGACGAUAAAAUUAUCAGCCUACGGUAUCAGGUAUAUUUCCAUAAAGGCCAUGAAAGCCGAGGUCCUAGCUGACUUUGUGGCUAAGAUGACUCCACUGUUGGAACUCUCAGAGUCCUCUAAGGCAACCAUAGAAAAAUGGAAAGUUUGGGUAGAUGGAGCUUGCAGAGCAGGGAGUGUAGGAAUCAAAAUCCUUUUGCAAUCCCAAACCAGCAUAAAAUUUUGGUAUGCAGCAAAGCUCACCUUCAAAACCACCAACAAUGUAGCUAAGUACGAGGCAGUAAUAAUAUCCCUAAGAAUCAUCAAGGAGCUAUGUAUUAAAAAAUCAAUUAUUUUUAGCGAUUCACAAUUGGUUGUCAAUCAGUACUAGGGACAAUUCACGGUCCAAGAGCUAAACCUCGUCAAAUAUGAGGGAAAGGUCCGGUCCAUAAUGAAGGAAAUCAAGGACGAACAAGGUAGCUGCAAACUUCACCAAGUGGCCAGAGGUAACAAUGAAGAGGCGAAUCUAUUAGCCAAGAUGGCGUCGACGAGUGAACAAUACUUAACCAUUCCAAUUUGAGGAGUUGCACAUUCCGGCGACAGAAAUGGAAGAGUCUUUUCCAUAGAGGAAAGAGAGUCAUGGAUGACGCCCGUAUACAAAUUCUUGAUGCAAGAUGAUCUUCCAACUAAUGAAUUAUUAGCCAAACAGAUAAUUAAAAAAGCCUUCUAAGUAUGCACUAAUUGAUGGUUGGUUAUACAGGAGGUCCACCACACAACCAUAGUCGAUAUGUUAUGGAGGAGGAAGGCUUGAAAAUCCUAAAAGACAUCUAUGAAGGUGAAUGCAGGAGUCAUGAAGGAGCUCAAACAAUCACCCAAAAAACAUUCAGAGAAUAAUACUAUUGGCCCACAAUAAUAAGGAUGCGAAGCAAUUGGUCCAGAAGUGCCAAAGGUGCCAGGUAUAUGCAAAUAUCCCAAGGACACUAGGAGAAAUACAAGCGGCCAUCGGAAGUCUCUAGCCUUUUUUUUCAGUAGGGGAUAAACAUCCUGGGCCCUUUCCCUAAGACGUCUGGAUCAAGAAAGUUUAUUAUCGUGGCAGUAGACCACUUCAGUAAAUGGGCAGAAGCUGAGACAGUACAAUCCAUCACUACCCAACAAGCAAUUUAUUUUGUCAGUAAAAAUAUAUUCAUCUGAUUCGAAAUACAUAAAAUAAUGAUUACCAAUAAUGAAACUCAGUUUGCAAGCAUCAAGUUUAAAGACUGUUGCAAAAAAUAGGAGAUCGAUUUGAGGUUCGGUUCAGCUUACCACCCCAAUCCAAUUGUAUGACAGAAGUCACAAACAGGACUAUAUUACAGGAGCUCAAGAAAGGCUCGAUUGAGCCAACGGUAGUUGGCCCUAAGAAUUGCCUCACAUACUAUAGGAAUACAUAACUACUCUCUUGUAUAUGGGGCAGAAGCUGUCACCUCUGUAGAAAUACAAGUAAACAGCUUCAGAACACGACAUCUUGAAAUUUUGGAAUACCCUGAGGAAAUGCAAUUCAAUUUGGACCAAGCUAAAUUCUUGCAGGAAAAAGCUGCAAUAAGAAUAGCGGCAUACAGGAACAAAAUAUCCAAAAUUUUUAACAGCAAAGUCAGGCCGAGAGCCUUCAAUGUGGGAGACCUGGUCCUCAAAAGAGCAAACGUAAUAGGUGGCAGUGUCAGACCCAGGAAGCUACGAGAAAACUGGAAAGGACCAUUUAAGGUCACAAAGGUCAUUUGCCCUGUGAUGUUCUAAGAUCCAGUGAAAGGUGGGCUUAAGGUGUAUUUUGGUAAGUUUGGUCUGGUUUGUCUCCCCCUGCUUCCUUUAUUCCUUUUUCCCUUUGUCCUCUAGUGAUGUGUAACCGUCGUCCUGUGCCUGUACCUCCCAUCAUAGUCACGCUUUGACGUGCGUAUGGACGUACUGCCUUCUUUCUCAGUGUCAAGCGGCCAUUUAAUUUCAUCCAACACCAUGUGGACAUGAUCCCGGAUGUCACAGGAUCUGCUGCCCCACGAGUCUAGCAGGUUAAUAGAGUUGGGACUUCCACAUGUAGGCGCGAGCCCUGUCUGAUUUGUCCAAGCAAGUCCUGAGCUUAUAUGUAAGGCAGACCUAACUGUUGGGCCUUAAUAGAGUUGAGGCAUGGUCUUUCCAACACGGGCUCAACCAUGGCUGGGGUAUCCGGGGCCCAAUUAUCAUCAAGUGCCCCUUUGUCUGCUCAUUAAUAUGAGGGGAUAAAUCUCAAAACUCCAAUUAUUACUGCGGAGCUCUAGGAGAGUUCUUGUCAAAACGUCUCCCCUUUGCCUUUACCCAUUUCAAACUUACACUUUUGAUUUCACUUACUGCUUUGUGCUCUCAUAUUGCUUCUGCUAUCUUGCCCUUUCUUUUCCCUGUAAUUCCUGCCUUUCUAAACCAAGGUACGUCAUAUUCUUCUUAUGGCUUUUGCUAGAAUUCCCAAUGUAGUGGGUCUGGUGUCCUCUAUCACCCUUUCCUCUAUUUCUAAUUACUUUUCCAGUGACUAUUCUGAUACCACCAUCUCUAGGAUUAGGGCAGGCCUUCCUAAUGAGAUGAUUGUUCUCCCCUACCCACCACCGACGGGUCUAAUAGACACCCAUUAAGGGCGCAACCUAGUCUUUUUUGUCAAACAGUACGAUUUGAGGUUGACCUUCCCUUUUACCCCUUUCUUCAUUGAGGUCUUUCGUCAUUUUAGGGUGACUCCUCGAAUGUUGUCCCUUAAUUCCAUCUUGUUCAUGUGCUGCUUCGAGUCAAUUUGCAUGUGCUGAGGUUAACGCCACAGAGGUAACUGUUGAGUCUACUUUGGCUUCUGUGGCCGAGAUGUUGCGCGAGAAGAUGUUUGUAGAGGUCUCAGAUGCUUCUGAUCCCCACUUUCUUGCUCUUGUCAACCAUCUGGCCUCCUCCACCAGACAGCAAGUGGUCUUCAGUUCGCGAUUCCGGAAGGAUCUUGGGGACAAUGUGAGAGAGAUGCUCCUUAUGGUGAGUUGUCUAUCCUUCUCGAGAGUAUUUUUGUUCUUUUGGCUUUUUUUAACUUUAUUUUUGUGGUAGGCUUUGAGUGUGUUCAUGAAAAUUGAUACCUAGGACCAAUCUCUACAGAGCUCAAUGGACCAGCACAUCGCUGAGGUAUGCUGGGAGGAGAAUACAGUUGUGACUGGUGAGGCCCGCGGGCACAUCAUCGAUUUUCAAAAUCAAAUCGAGGACCUUACCAAACAGCUGUGGGAGAUGAGAGAGGAAGUCACUAGGGCUUUCCAACGGGCUUUUGCGGUGGAGACUCAGCGAGAGGAAGCCUUAGCACAACUGUCCACAUUGGAGGAGGCCUGUCGCCAACGAGACGAGGUCAGGGCCCAGCGCAACAAGGCUUUAGUUCGUGCUACUGUCCUCUAACAGGAGCUUAAUAAAUAUAUCGAGGACUUGAAGCGCAUGACUUCGGCAGCGGAAGAGUUCCGACUUCAGCAGCAAUAACUCCGUCAAGAGGUCUCUACCCUAGAGGAGAGGCAUACUUUGUUGUUGAGGGAUGCCCAGGCUGCAGAGAACAGAGUCCAACAGGCUUGUGAGGAGCAGUUAUAGGAGUACAAGGACUCUGCAAAGUUGAAGGAGAAAAUCCAAUAGGCCUGUGAAGCAUGACUCGAGGAGUAUAAGGCCUCUGCGAAGUUAAAGAGAGAAUAUACAAAGAGGCCUUCCAUAUGUUCGCUUCAAGCUUCAACCAGGACCUUAAAGCAGCUAGGGAUGCCCCCUCCGCUCCGUUGGCUGAUCUGCAAACCCCUGAAUUGAACUCUAAUGGUGAGGAGGUCUGUUACGGAGAGGAUGAUAACCCUUUUUUCCAAGAACUCUCCUCCUUUGCCUUCUAGACUAUAGGGGGGAAUUCUAUAAAUAAUAAUCUUGUAAAUAACUUAGUCAACUCUGCUCCCCUUCCCUUGCUAUCUCUGUAACCAAUUCCAAUCGUUAAUAAGAUUUUAAAAUUUUCUAUUAUUUUCCAUCUGUCCGCUUUCAUUCCCUCGUCUAUUUAAAUUUUAUUUAUAUUUAGACUGUUUUUAUAUAUGUGGCCGGCGAGCUAUGUUGGGCUGGUUACUCAUUUGCUUAUUUUGCUUUUAAAGCGUCUGACUUAUUGUAUUUUGUUAUUUGUUUAUCGAAUGCCUUAGUAUUUUGUUCCUUCUGUUCCCUUGCUGAGUUUUUGUUUGUUAUUGUCUCUAGUUUUCAUACAGCCCUUUCCCUUAGUUCAUAUUACUCCCAAGUUAUAUUUUUUACUUGUAUUUUGACAUUCGCGGAUUUGUUUGUGAAGUUAGUGAUGGGCCUUAAUUUUAUUUUGAUUUUGCUUUGGGUUUACUUCUCUAUGAGCUAAGGCUCUUUUUCGAGGACGGCGUUGUGCCUUUAGCUUUAUUUUUCUUUAAAUGUUAGGGGUGCCGAGCUUUUUUUUAUUUUUUUUUGAGAUCGGCACUCUGUUUUAAUCUUAUUUUUCUGUGAGCCAAUUCGAUACGAUUCAAUUUUUACACCAUCGUUGUUAAUUCCAAUUCGAUACAAUUUUUCAACUCGAUUCAAAACUCCCAAAACCGUACAUAAACCCUACUUUUUCAUGCAUAUGUCAUAUUUCCACUUUCCAGGGAUACCUCUUUUAUCCCCUUUUUCUUUAUACAUCUGUUUUAAUUGUUGAUUACACAAUUUAUUGAGACUUUUUUCUUUAUACAUCUGUUAAACAGAUUGUUGAUUAGACAAUUUAUUGAGACCUUUUCCCUAAAAGUAGAACUUCCAAUAGCGGUCUUCACUUAUGAUAAAUAAUGGUUGUUGCAAGUGAUAGAAAGUUAAUUGCUUAAGGGUUGGGGAUUACAAAUUAGAGUUAGAAUUAGAAGUUAGAGGUUUAGAUUUAGAAUUAGGUUUUAGGGUUAGGGACUAGAAUUCAAAGUUAGAAUGCAAGAUUUAAGAUUUAUAGUUUCGAUUUGUGAUUUAAGGUUUAGAAUUCAAGAUUUUGAAUGAUUAAGUAUAUAAAUUAGUAAAUUAGUUAUAUUUUGAAUGGUUUAAAAAAGAUACUAUUUGGGCAGUUACUUGUAGUUCUAGUGGAUGCUGAUGCUGGUAGUGAAGGCAUUGACACAUUCACAAGAAAAUACCGAUCUAUAGACAUGGAUCACUUUUGUCAAACAAGUAGAGACUUGUAUACAUGACGACCUUUUAAAAGAAUAUAACAAUCCAAUGUUAAUCCACAUAGAUUGUCUUGAAAGGGCAAGUGAAGUCACAACUUAUUCUCAUGAUAAAAGCUUCAACACAAAAGUACACCCGAGAGAAACUAAAUCUGGUAGCAGGGAAAAGAAAGGGGGAAGAGAUCGAGGGGAAACAAGCGAGAUUCGAUCAUCCCUACAAAACAGACAAAUAAAAGGUAACAACACAUCAGGCAGAAUGCAAUUGUUCAACUGUAGCCGGUAGGCAUAUGGUCAUAGAUAGAACUAUUUCAACAAUGGCAAAAAUAUUUUACCGUAAAUUACACUUUAAUUCUCAAAUUUUAACAUGAUUAAUGAAUCAAUCUCUUUAUUUUUAAAAUUAAAUAAUUAAAUUUCUGAAUUUUGAAUUCGAGAUUAAUUAAAGGUUCGUCAAUUUUCUCUGUUAGCUCAUGUUAAAUUAGUUAUGUUUUAAUUUAAGUGAAAACCCUAGCCUUUAACCCAAUUUCAUUCAUUUUCUUUUACUUCCCUUAAUUGCUUUUUCUCUACUUCCAAACCCAAUCCNNNNNNNNNNNNNNNNNNNNNNNNNNNNNNNNNNNNNNNNNNNNNNNNNNNNNNNNNNNNNNNNNNNNNNNNNNNNNNNNNNNNNNNNNNNNNNNNNNNNNNNNNNNNNNNNNNNNNNNNNNNNNNNNNNNNNNNNNNNNNNNNNNNNNNNNNNNNNNNNNNNNNNNNNNNNNNNNNNNNNNNNNNNNNNNNNNNNNNNNNNNNNNNNNNNNNNNNNNNNNNNNNNNNNNNNNNNNNNNNNNNNNNNNNNNNNNNNNNNNNNNNNNNNNNNNNNNNNNNNNNNNNNNNNNNNNNNNNNNNNNNNNNNNNNNNNNNNNNNNNNNNNNNNNNNNNNNNNNNNNNNNNNNNNNNNNNNNNNNNNNNNNNNNNNNNNNNNNNNNNNNNNNNNNNNNNNNNNNNNNNNNNNNNNNNNNNNNNNNNNNNNNNNNNNNNNNNNNNNNNNNNNNNNNNNNNNNNNNNNNNNNNNNNNNNNNNNNNNNNNNNNNNNNNNNNNNNNNNNNNNNNNNNNNNNNNNNNNNNNNNNNNNNNNNNNNNNNNNNNNNNNNNNNNNNNNNNNNNNNNNNNNNNNNNNNNNNNNNNNNNNNNNNNNNNNNNNNNNNNNNNNNNNNNNNNNNNNNNNNNNNNNNNNNNNNNNNNNNNNNNNNNNNNNNNNNNNNNNNNNNNNNNNNNNNNNNNNNNNNNNNNNNNNNNNNNNNNNNAGCCUCUUCUGAAACUUUUGAAGUCAUUUAUGUUGUUAUCUCGUACAUGUACCUUGUUUAGCUUCUCUUAGAUUUGUGAUUUUAGUUUUAUAGUUUUAAUUUUAAUAGGUGGUUCUGCAACUCAUUUUGGUUUAUGAAAGAAUCACCUUCAUAUGAAUCUAUCACCUUCAUUAAUUAUUACUGUUAACUUCUGAUUUUAUGGAAAGAAGGAUGUCCAAUUUAGACGGAUUCAAAACUCAAAAUUUAAGUGUUUAAUUCUAAAAUCAGGACUAAUACAUUAAUUACGCUAAAACUAAGAAACUAAAGUAUAAUUUAACUAAAGUAUAAUUCAUCCAAUAUUAUUUAUGUUGUCCUACCAUAGGUAACAAGCAUUUUGCAGAUCACAUAUCAUUCAAUUAACCUAAUUUUUUCUAAAAAAAAUUCCGUCUAUUCUAUCUAAGGCCACUUCCGCAGUAGUGGUCUACUCUCCUCCACCAACACUUAUCAAGAUACAGUUGCGGCCCAACGCUUGCAUCUGAGAUGCAGCAAACAAGCUCAUCAACAAUCAUGGUUGCGUAGAUAGUUUAGCACUUCCUACAAACACCUUCUUCUCCUUGACCAUCCCAUACUUAUCUCUUGCCGCUCACCCAUCUUUGUAACAUUUUCAUUUUACUAACAUAUUGCUCUGCUUGUUGACUAUUGAAUUUUACGAUAUCAAGAUAUUCAUGUAUAAUUAUGGAACAUGGAAUUAUAUCAGCAAUGAUCAAGCAACCGACCGAUGCUACAAACUAGAGUUAUUUGUUGUUUUAAAACCACAUAGCAGAUGCUAAAUAUGCAGAGUAACUAAGACAUGAUGAAUUAUGGAAUGUAUACUGGAGCAGCUCAGCACCAUAUGUUAUAGAUAUAUAGACAAAGCAGCAGCAGUAACUAAAAG
RNAcentral lists this long non-coding RNA (51006 nucleotides) under Manihot esculenta (cassava). Its description in RNAcentral is "long non-coding RNA (MESC_LNC005076)". The record is from RNAcentral. Lineage: Eukaryota; Viridiplantae; Streptophyta; Magnoliopsida; Malpighiales; Euphorbiaceae.